AAGCUGUAUCUGUUGUAGAUAACUUGGGAAAUAAUGUUUUGUGUAUUGAUUCUACUAAUAAUAACUUGGAUAAAGCAUCUUUAUGGCAUUGUCGUCUUGGACAUAUAAGCAAGAAACGCAUAGGCCAACUCCAAAAGGAUGGAGUCUUGGAGUCGUUUGACCUAAAGUCAGAUGAUAGUUGCGAAUCAUGCUUACUUGGAAAAAUGACAAAGUCACCCUUCACAGGUUCGUGUGAGAGGGGUGAAGGUUUGUUGGACCUUAUACACACGGAUGUGUGUGGACCAUUCAAACAUGCCACAAGGGAUGCUAAUCGUUAUUAUUUGACUUUUACUGAUGAUUAUAGUAGAUAUGGAUAUGUCUACUUGAUCAAGCAUAAGUCAGAGACUUUCGAGAGGUUUAAGGAAUUUAAACAGGAAGUCGAGAAUCAAUUGGGCAGGAACAUUAAGAUGCUUCGAUCCGAUCGUGGUGGUGAGUAUCUUAGUUCAGAGUUCCUCGACUAUCUAAGGGAAUGUGGGAUAGUCUCACAAUUGACACCUCCCAGGACACCACAGUUGAAUGGUGUGGCUGAGAGGCGUAAUCGAACCUUGUUAGAUAUGGUUCGUUCCAUGAUGAGUCGAGCUACGCUACCAAUCUCAUUCUGGGGGUAUGCCUUAGAGACUGCCGCCCAUAUUCUUAAUCUAGUCCCUACAAAGAAAGUUGCCAAAACUCCUCACGAGAUGUGGACUGGUAAAGUACCUAAACUAGACCACAUCAAGAUUUGGGGUUGCGAGGCUUUCGUGAGACGCGAGACUCAUGAUAAGCUCGAACCUCGAAGCGAGAGGUGUAUUUUCAUCGGUUACCCACAGCGAUCCUUUGGUUACCUCUUCUACAGACCUAGUGACAAUGUGGUCUUUGUAGCAAGAAGAGGAGUCUUUCGAGAAAGAGAGUUUAUAAGCCAAGGAGACAGUGGGAGGCAAAUUGAUCUUGAAGAAAUUCAAGAAUCAAGCGGUGAAGGAACUUCAAACUCUAGCCCUCAACUUGAGGAGGAAACUCCUGUUGAGCCAAUUGACAAAUCUGUACCUCUGAGACGUUCCACGAGAGUUAGGAGUGCACCUGAGCAUUACUAUGGAUUCCAUAUUACUGCAGAAGGUGAGACACUUAUUAGUGAUGAGACACUAGUAAGUCAAGAUGACCCUAACAGCUACGAGGAAGCCAUGGCAGGCCCCGAGUCUGCUAAAUGGAAAGAGGCUAUGGAUAGCGAGAUACAAUCCAUGUAUGACAAUCAAGUUUGGAACUUGGUUGAAAAUGUACCAGGUCGUAAGACAGUAGGGUGCAAAUGGGUCUUCAAGAAGAAGACCGACAUGGAUGGUAAAGUACACACUUAUAAGGCUAGACUGGUUGCAAAGGGCUUCUCUCAAAUUCCUGGAGUGGAUUAUGAUGAGACCUUUUCUCCGGUAGCCAAGAUUAAGUCUAUUCGGGUUCUGUUAGCCAUAGCUGCAUUUCAUGACUAUGAAAUAUGGCAGAUGGAUGUCAAAACCGCUUUCCUUAAUGGAAAGUUGGCUGAAGAUGUUUACAUGAGUCAGCCAGAGGGUUUUGUCAGCAACGAGUACCCUAAUAGAGUGUGUAAGCUUGAGAAAUCCAUUUAUGGAUUGAAGCAAGCACCUCGCAGAUGGAAUCUUUGCUUUGAUGAAAAGGUCAAGGAAUUUGGCUUUUCUAGGAGUGAAGAUGAAUCUUGUGUGUAUGUCAAGGCUAGUGGGAGUAUAGUUAGCUUUUUGGUAUUGUAUGUGGAUGACAUACUACUCAUAGGAAACGACAUUCCAACCCUGCAGGAAGUAAAGUCCUGGCUUGGGAAGUGUUUCGCUAUGAAGGACCUUGGUGAAGCUGCCUAUAUUCUAGGGAUAAGAAUCUUGAGAGAUCGGAGUAAAAGACUAAUUGGACUUAGUCAGAGUACCUACUUGGAUAAGGUGCUGAAGAGAUUCAGCAUGCAGGAUUCCAAGAAAGGAGAGUUACCCAUCCAGAGUAACACCAGAUUGAGUAAGACACAAAGCCCUAGCACUGAGGCUGAGAUAGCAGAAAUGAGUCGAACACCUUACGCUUCGGCUGUAGGAUCGAUCAUGUAUGCUAUGACGUGUACUCGACCCGAUGUAGCUUUUGCCUUGAGCAUGGUUAGCAGGUAUCAGGCGAACCCUGGCAAGGCACACUGGACUGCGGUAAAGAAUAUCCUCAAGUACCUACGGAGGACUAAGGACUGGGUCCUUACCCUCGGUGGGAGUGAUGACUUGAGAGUUGUAGGGUAUAGUGAUGCUAGCUUCCAGACUGAUAGGGAUAAUUUCCGCUCUCAGUCGGGCUGGGUCUUUACCCUAAACGGAGGAGCAAUUUCUUGGAAGAGUUCCAAGCAAGAGACAGUGGCAGAUUCUACUUGUGAAUCAGAGUAUAUUGCAGCUAGCGAAGCAGCAAAGGAGGCGAUAUGGCUGAAGAACUUCAUUGGAGACCUUGGAGUUGUACCAGCUAUUAAAGAGCCAAUGGAAAUUUUCUGUGAUAGUGAAAGUGCUGUUGCCUUAGCCAAGGAACCAAGGGAUCAUGGGAGAUCCAGACACAUCGACAGAAAAUACCAUUUCAUUAGACAUCGGAUCGAAGAAGGACUCCUCGUGGCAAAGAGGGUAUCAUCGGAUGAGAACCCAGCAGAUCCCCUCACGAAGGGACUGAGUAGGGUUAAGCAUCUCCAGCAUGCUCGGAGCAUAGGGCUGAAGGAUGAUAUAAGUUUUAGUAGUUAGAUAACCCAGAAAUUUGUAAAGUGUAAUUGACAUUUGAUGAUGAAUAAAAGGUGUUUUAUUUAUGAGUAAAGUGUUGCUAUCUCUUGUCAAUCGUUUACUAUAUUUCUUUUGCAUGUUUUGACUUCCAGAAUAAUUUUGUUUGGUGUAACAUAUUAUUCAAACCUCCACAGUCGGUCAUAUGUCGGAAGUAGGUAUGAAUCAAGACUGUCAUGAUGGGUUGUAGAGGUCUAAGGUGUUGGACAAGGCUACAACAAUCAUGAGUGCUCAUAAGUUCUGAGCAUUGGACUCAACCCACGCUCACUGGAAUCACUUCAUGGAAUUCUAUCUCGAGUGAUCGUGAGACGGUAAUAUCAUAUAAGUCUUCAAACCUAGAGAUAUGAUUUGUUACUUACAAGUUGGUUAUGCAUUGACUGUACGAAACCGCAUUGGUAACUCGAUGUUAUAAAACGUACUUUUGUGUGUAAUUCAAUGAGUGGUAGAACAAACAUAUGAGUCGAAGUUUAUCUGUUCCUUCUUGGAUUAGAAGCUGAUAUCUGGGCCCCUCGAUGAUUUUGUUUUGACCCAUGUACCGGGCCCGGUCAGAACUAAGUUGAUGUGUUCAAUUAAGUUCUAUGUCAAACAAAUCGGAAAUCGGGAAACAAAUGCUGGACAAUAAGCAAGACAAUGUUCCAUGUAUUUGUCCGGCUGAUAUCUAGAACGGAGGAUUAUAUGAUCACUUAUCUUAAAUGGCGUACCAUCAUCUUCUCAGUUCCGAGAGACCUUGAAAGAGCUACGAUUGCCGGUCGGUUCCUGAAGUACUAGAGAUAUAGUUAUUAGACUUAUCCAAGUGGGAGACUGUUGGAUAAGGUGUCUAAGUCCAUAACUAUUUCGGGCUUGUACUUGACCCGACCCGGCAUGGUCCAUUUGGGUUGCAUGGCACCAUGCAAUUGGAUAGACUAAAUGAGAGAAAUAACACUUGGAGAUUAUUAAUAUAUUAUAAGUUCUAAUAUAUUAAUAAUAUUAUUUGAUUAGUUGAUCAAAGAAUUAAUUUAGAAUUAAUUAAGUGAUCAAAGGAUAACUAAUUAAAUAUAUGGGUUGAUUAUGUAAAUCAUCCAUAUCUUGUAUAGUGGGCUAAGAGGCUCCAUGGAUUAUCAAGUUGGGUUCUACCCAUAGGAUGCUCCAUGGAUGCUCCAUGGGAGUUACAAACCCAUGGGUCAUGGAAAUGAAGAGUCAUGACACAUUAGGGUUUACAUGGUGUAACCCUAGAUGUGCCAACACUAUAUAAGAGUCCCAUUCUCCACAAAAUUGGCUACACAAGUUGAACACUAAGAAACUAGAGGGCUUGGCCGAUUUUGAGAAGUGUGUGUUAUCUCAAGAGUCUUUCCAAGAGCAUUUGGUGUUGUGUGAAGCAUUUGAGGCAUCACACUUGGGGUGCUAGGCUCACAAGGUUUCAAGGAACACAAGCAACAACAAGGUAAGUUAUUCUAUCUAUGAUUCAAGUUAAAAUUGUUCCCCAUGUAUGCUAGAUAGGAAUAUAACCUUGGAAUUCAACUUUGCAUGAUAAUUAGACAAACAUAGAUCCAAGGUUAUUAGGGUUGCAUGUACACUUAGGAAGUGUUAGAAUGCUCAAAACCCAUCAAGACGAACUUUAGAUUCACUAGCAGACUAUAACCCAGACCUGAUCACACGUAUAUCGAAUCAACUCUAAUGCCAUCAUAAAUACCCGCUGUUACACAUGAAGGACCACUACCAUGAACAUAAUUGGGAGUCCUUAACUUCACAUUCACUCGCCACAAAGCCCAUACUGGAUCGAGACUAAUCCGAUUCUACCAAUACAGAACUAGCCCGAGAAGACUUCCACAAUUAUCCCGAAGGUUACCGCCACACGGGUCUAAUACAAAUCAAAAUUCUAUUUCACCAUUGGGGAGAAACAUACCCCAAAGACUUUCGGAACAUGAAAACACUGCAUAAGGGAAUGGGUGGCACGAUCCUAGCUUCGUAACUGUCACCUCUUGAAUCCCAUUCGGAGAAUUCCUGCUCCCUGAGGGUUCACAACUUAAUGUCUGUCCGACCAUUUUGGAUAACAUAAUCUGAGCAGCAACAGACAAAACCUUCAACGGCUGAUGCUCAACCUGAGAAUUACCAAUUCUCCCCUACUUAGAACACUAACCACCACCCACUGGUGUGAAACCCAACAUAACUUAGCUGACAAUCCCUGAUGCUUGAAUGAUCCCACUCUCAAAUCUUGAAGUCCAGAGAUAGAUGCUCUACUAAUACUUCAGCAACAAGCUAUUUCCCUUGGCGCUCUCAUACGCCAAUUAAUAACGAUUACUAAAAACCAUUGAAUCCUGAAAAUGUAGAAUAACUAUCCCGUAGGACUCUGUCCGCAACCUCCCAUAUAAUACCCUUCUUCCCAAAGUGCUCCGACAAAUCUCCCACCCUCGGCUCUAGAAAUACUAUCAAUCAGGGUUUCGCACCCUGACUUACUCACCAGCUCGAUCAUCCAUAUCUGAACUACGGUAGCCGAAGCAACCUCUGCCCUAAAUCGGGUUACAAACUACUCCCAAGACAUAGUCUCCAGUCCCCAAAAGUGCAAUAGAUCAUAGAAUCAAUCCUUACAGCCCGAUACAAGAGAUCCAAGUCGAACCGAACCUCACAACAUACUCAUGCCACAUCGACCCACCCACACUUACUAGCGCUGAAAUAUUGUCGCCAAUCCUGGUGACCAACUAACCCGAGCUGGAACACAACCUGAUCCUAGGGUCGCAAGCCUGCUCAAUGCUCAGAGCUCGAACAACUGGAAGAGUAUAAUCCUUGCCCUAGGAAACGACAUUCUUAUCCAUCUAUUAUCCAUUCUACUUCCAACUACAAAAAUCUAACUAAUCAUAAUCAUCGCCCCAUUUCAGAGUCCCUGCAACUCGAAUCCCGGCCUCAACCAUGACCCCUGAAGCCUCCAACUAGGAAACUAAUAUACUAACUUCUCCCGCUCAACCUACAGAGUGCAUCGAGUAUGGAACAUUUCCCCAAUCCCAUGUAACUACAGCCCACUGGUCACCAAAAUAUGUCCCUGUGAUAAGUCUCGGUACUGCAAGCUCGACUGUAACACCGAAAAUUUCAAACAAUUUUUCAUUUAAAAAUAAUCGUUUAAUUCUUAGAAACACUUGUUUAAAAUCUCAUUCAUAAUCGAAUUACAAAACAUGACUCCAUUUUCACUUGUAUAGAAAACCAGGAUCCUCAAAACAUGACUCUUUCUCUGGUGUGUACAAUCAAGCCGGUGCCGUCCCGUGGUCCUGAAAGAAACCUGAAACACAUACAUAAAACAAAACACUGUAAGCACGAAGCUUAGUGAGUUUCCCCAAAAUACCACACACAACACAUAUUAGCCACACGAGGCUAUAACUCUGUGGGUCCGUGGACCCUGCUCUGUGAACCCUCUGGUUCUAACUCUGUGAACCUUCCGGUUCUAACUCUAGGAACCCUCCGGUGCCAACUCUGAAAACAUGCACAACAUAAAUCACAUAGAAAUAAUGCAGUACAACACAUAACAUACAUAGCAUACAAAUACUCUGUCACAUAACUCUGGUUACCUACUCAAGGUAAAGUAUAGUGAGAAGACUCACCUGGAAAGCAGAAAGCAGAUAUCCCCACACUUGAAUCUCGAACUCGCCGCCGCCUAACACGUAAGGCAUAUACUCUCAUGAAUAUAACUCUCGAGACAAGAAUCAACCCUCUCAUGGCACCCUCUUAAGGAUAAAAUACUAUUUUACCCCUCUCUUGGCCCAAAGGCCACAUCGCUGACCAACCCCUAAAAGUCAACGGUCAACUCUUGGUCAAAGUCAAAGUCCUCAGUCAAAGUCAACCCUCCUGGUUGACCCUGCUCGCCGAGUCAACCCGUCGACUCGUCGAGUCCCCAUGCUCAGAACUUCCCCAAUCCGCGACUCAACUCACCGAGUCACCCCGAGACUCGCCGAGUCCCACAACUCUGAGUCCACUCGCACACAACUCACCGAGUCAUCCCUUGACUCGCCGAUUCUCGACUCAACCAGAAAAUAUUGGGACUCUUCGACAAGACUCGCCGAGUCCAACAACAGACUCGCCGAGUCUAAGGCUAUCUUCAACCUACUCGCCGAGUUGUUCAUACAACUCGCCGAGUUCCAGGCCAUCUUCAUCCAACUCGCCGAGUUGUUCUUCCAACUCGUCGAGUUCCAGCUCAUCAUCAAGCAACUCGUCGAGUCCACCCAUGUGACUCGCCGAGUACCACCGGUCUGAACUCAUACAGAAGCAUUCCAGGCCAUGUAAUUGAUCCAAAACAUAGAUCUAGCCUCCUACAACUCAUCCAUCACGUAAAGUGGCAAACUUUACAUGAAUCCAAAGAGAUCUAUGCAUUUUCACUCUAGGGUUUGGGACAAAAUAGCUCCAUCAACCACUCACAAACAGGGACUUUCAUGCAUUCCAAUCCUUCUCCAUUCCAGAUCUGAGGUAGCAACCUCAGAUCUAACCUCUAAACUCCAAUACAUCCAAGGAUAUGGUCUCUAACACCCCCAAAACGAUGCAUCUAAGAAAUAGCAGCUCAAAAACGAGAUAUUACCUCAAAGGAACGCCCCAACUGCAAUGAAACUCGAAUCCAAGCAAAGCCCCUUUGCUCCAAGCCUCUUACCCUUCAUGAUUUCCUCAACAAUUGCUUCUCCAAGCUUCCAAAUGCACUUGAUCCACUCACACACAAGGGUUAGGGUUUCUGGACUUGAGGAUUAGUAAGGAGGCUGGGGGAAUGGAUGUUAUGUUCUUUAUAUAGGGCUCAACCCCGAGAAUUAGGGUUUUCUCCACUCAGCGCCUAGUCGCCGAGUCCAUUACUCUGACUCGCCGAGUCGGCCACUUAACACGCGACCAAGUCGCGACUCUACUCGCCGAGUCCACACAUGGACUCGCCGAGUCGCUCUUUCCCAAUUUACUCUUUUAGCCCUUUAACUCUACUCUUGAUAUUUCGGGAUGUUACAUCGACCAGCUCCUUCCUCCUGCCGCAGUUACAGCUUUUGUAGCCGCUGCGGAGACCGUCCCUGUAAUGGCUGCAUAGCGCUCAGCGAAAUACUCAACCAUGACGGUCUUGAUAGACCCAAACAUCUCCGACAAUUUUUUUCCCGGACCAUCUCGAUCACCCCUCCCGGAUGAUCUCACUAACAAUCCUAUGACAAUACUGACGUAUCCUGACUGACAGGUCUCGAUCCUGACCUGGUUUCAGUCUCUAAAUGCCUUGUAAUCACCAUUCUGGCAAUACACCAGAAAGAUCUCGAAUAACCCAUAUGCUAACAGGGAACCAACUCACAACCAACCCUAGGCAUUGUGACUUCCUUGCUACGCGUAUGGGUCCUGUGCUUUCAGUAGUAUGGGCCCCUACUACCUUCCACACCUACCUAUAUUUGUCUCAAGUAUCACCACAACACCCUGACAGUAUACGUAAACAUAGCGAGCACUCAAUCCUCACUCCUAGAGGAAUGUUAGAUAUCUCAUAACCGGCCUCUCGGUCUCUCACAACCCACUUAUCCAUGAAACUUCCACCAACCUUACAGCAGUAGUGUAUGCUAGCCAUACAUAAUGCUGGACCCUAUAGACUUUCGAAUAUCCAAUCCUACCCUAAGCUCCCAAUCAAACAAGAAAAAAACAUAAGGCCACAUCAAACAUUCUCAGGCUAUAAGAUCAUAGUUAUGUAUAACCGUGAUGCCUACACUAGAUAACUACAGUAAUGGUGUCAAUUUCAUAUAAGAGAAACCCUAGGCUAGCAGGCAUCAUGUAAUCAGGCAAUUCUACCAUGCAAUUCCUGAAGAUCCCUAGCCUAGUACUAGCAUGCUGUUCUAACAUAUCACAUAAUCAAGUAAUUGUAUGGUAUUUUGGGGUCUACUUACUGGCUCCAGCUGAUCGUACACUUUGCAUCCUCUUUUAGUUAUUUUGAAAACCAUAUAAAAAACGUUUUGAAAAUCUUACCUUGAUUUGAGACUGGAUUCACACGAAUGUUCAUCCAAUUCACUCAAACCAAGGCUCUGAUACCAACUUGUAACAUCCAAAAUUUCGAACCAAUUUAAACUUUUAAAACAUAUCAAGUUCAUCAAAACGUUACAACUUUGUUUUCAAAAUAUAUUGAUUAUCAGAGUUUUUCCCAGAAACAUAAAUAUAAUAGGAGGAGCUGUACGUUCACGCCUUCGCCUUGCCGCGAUCCUCUGAUGUACCUGAAACAAUAAGCUGAAACUGUAAGCCCGAAAGCCUAGUGAGUUACCCCCAAAAUACUGAUACACAUACAGUCCACAUAGCAAUAUCAACAUUAGCAUAGAAUAUCAAUAAAACAUAACAGCAUAUACUGGGUCUACAGCUAAACAGGCUGGACUACCCCUGGGCCAUCAGUAUGAGUCUGGAAUGCCUAUCGAGCCCUCAGCUCGUAUCUGGAAUGCUCCCGAGUCCUCAGUAUGAGUCUGGAAUGCCUACCGGGCCCUCAACUCGUAUCUGGAAUGCCAUCGAGCCCUCAGUACGAGUCUGGAAUGCCUACCGGGCCCUCAACUCGUAUCUGGAAUGCCAUCGAGCCCUCAGUACGAGUCUGGAAUGCCUACCGGGCCCUCAACUCGUAUCUGGAAUGCCAUCGAGCCCUCAGUACGAGUCUGGAAUGCCUACCGGGCCCUCAGCUCAUAUCCGGCAUACUCCUGAGUCCUCAGUAUGAUUCUGGAAUGCCUACCGGGCCCUGAACUCAUAUCUGACAUACUCCUGAGUCCUCAGUAUGAGUUUGGAAUGCCUACCAGGCCCUCAGCUCAUAUCUGGCAUACUCCUGAGUCCUCAGUAUGAGUUUGGAAUGCCUACCGGGCCCUCAGCUCAUAUCUGGAAUACUCUAGGGUUUGUUGGCUACCGCAUGGAGCAGUACAACCUCAACCCAACCCACAUAACAUAUAACAUAACUACUGAGCAUGCAAUAAUCAUAUAACAUCACGGGUAGUCCUACAGGUCUACCUAACUGGCAUAACCAAUAACAUGCAACACAAACUCAUUCUCAACAUGAAACGCUACUAGGAUAACAUAUCCAAUGGGUCGGCCUUGUUGCCUUAGACCCCUUAGUAUAGUGAGGAUAACUCACCUUGCAACCACCGAACCGAAUCUCAAGAGCACAAUCCAGAAGCACCGCCUCAAACUCCAACACCUACAUCCAUCAAUAAUCAUUGGCAUAAAUAUCCAAAUUACCAUAAUACCCCUGAAGGUCAAGGUCAAAGUCAACCUUCCUGAUUGACUCUACUCGCUGAGCCAACCCGUCGACUCGCUGAGUUCUCAUAUCUAGAAAACUCUCCUAGCACGACUUAACUCACCGAGUCUCCCCAAGACUCGUCGAGUCCAACGAUUUCUGAGUUCCAUCCUGACCAACUCACUGAGUCCCCAACCGAAUCACUAAUCCAAGGCUUUAACUGAAAGAGGUUAGGUUCUGCAAGCAGACUCGCCGAGUCCAAGAACAGACUCGCCGAGCUCACGUCAAUAUUCAAUAGACUCGCCGAGUUGUUCUUCGAACUCGUCGAGUCCAAGCUCUUCAUCAUAAGACUCGACGAGUCACCCAUGCGACUCGCCAAGUUACGACGCGACUCAAUAUCUGAUCUCUAGCCCGACUCGCCGAGUCCAUACGUGCAUUCUCAUAAUCUCGAGUCACAGAGCUACUCCUUUGCUCCAAACAAUAGAUCUGGGUCUCUAGGGUCCAUUAGCAACAUAAAGUUGCCACCUUUACGUGCUUCUUGACCCAUAAUACCAAAAAACAAGCUAGAAAGGGACUUAACUCUUGGGGAAGGGCUUUUGCAUAAAAACUAGAAAGUCUUUCUGCAUCAAUGAUCCAUAUAGAACUCGGAUAUGGAGUUUUAACUCCAGAUCUAACUUAUGCUUCAAGAUCUCAUCAAUAUUUCUCCAACCAAACCCUAAAACUCCAUGAAAAUGGAACUAGAAAGGAGAAGGCCAAGGAUAACGAUUCCUUACCUCCAAAAUGAUCUCCCACAGAAGUAUAAUACGGAUCUCUUCAAGUGUCCUUGAUCCAAUUUACUUCAAACUCUUCUCACAAAUGAAAUUAGGGCUUCUGGAUCUUAAAAGGGUAGAAAAGAGGCUAAGGGUGGGUUAUAAUGUGCUUUAUAUAGGGCACAACCCCCAGGAUUAUGGUUUUCUCCCUUCAUCACCAACUCGUCGAGUACAAGCCGCCGACUCGGCAAGUUGGCCAUUAAACCCGCGAAAAAUCCCGCUCCGACUCGGCGAGUAAGCUUGCCUACUCGUCGAGUCCUUUUCCUUAAAUUACAAUUUAAGCCCUUCAACAGCACCUCUGGAAUUUGGGGUGUUACAACUCUCCCACACUUAAAUUAGGCUUCGUCCUCGAAGCCUACUGCAAUAUACGCUUCAGGACAAACCCUUUGCACUGUAGACUCCGAUUUUCUCAAUCAACUCAUGCUCUUACAAACCCUACUUCUAUAUGCCUCUUGAAAUGGCUUAUUCGCACGUGGCAUCCUUGCCACUAUUCCAAGCUAACCAUCGGUCUUUCAACUCCAUAGCACCACAUAUCAGUCACAUAUCACCCGAUGAACAUCCCUUCAAAUCAGGAACACACCUUCACGCCCUGCGAACGCUAGAUACCACAAACACCCACUGAGCUCUGUCAAGACACUAAUCCAUCCUCCUUCACCCAUGAUUGGGGAUAACCGUAAUAACUUGCAACCUGGAACGUACCCUGUUUUCCCCUCUGAUUCUAUACCUCACGCGCUGAUAGGAUACCACAUCCUUCAACUCCAAUAGCCCAUCAACCAAACAUCUCGUGUAACCAGUUGUACCUGGCCCAAUCAGCCUCAGGCUGUAAUACUUGGCACGCCCAUAACGGGUUCAGACUACUCCCGAGUCUGUUAACUUGCUGUCUCACCUUCCUCUGUCCAAAUCUCCAAUCUGGACCCACUAUCCCCCUCCUCUUCCAAGGAGACUAAAAACAUGCAUGCGCAUCAUCCAACAUCGCCACAACCUCAACGGGCAUCCUACCCGUAAGUGCUUCGAUAUAUCUGGUACAACCCUAGUGCUUACUAUCAAUAACUGAAGUACUUUCGAUCAUCCAUUUACACUACUGCUUUCCAUUCAGAGGACCACACUCCUUCCGGAGCUACACACCUUUCUUUUCCAGGAAACCUACUCAACAACCCUUACCGCAUUACAAGUGCCACUGAGCUAAACUCCACUCUACACUAUCUAUGCGGUGCAACUGUUAUUCUUGAACUCCUAUAUACUCCGAUUCUGAUCACAUACUAACUAGGCCCACACACGGCCUCCAGCCAACUCCAUCAUCAUGAUCAAUAGUUGGGGCCACACCAUCUCGAUUACCAUUGCAUGGCGAAAUAUUCACUCAUUCUCCUCAUACUGAUCCAUUAACACAUACAGAGUCUUCAGCAUAACUAGACCGCUUUUCGAGGCCUUCAACCUAUCUGGACCACUCCCAGAACCUUCAGCAUGUCUGGACCGCCCACCUGGGCCUUCAGCCUGUCUGGACCACUCUCAAAGCCUUCAGCAUGGUCUGGAUUGCCUCUAAGCCCACAGCAUGAGUCUGGUAUACCCCACCUGGCCCUCAGCUCAUGACUAGAAUGCUACUGAUAAACUAUCAACCUUGUCCAAAAGAAAACCUAACCAACGUCCUUUACAACACCAACCCGUGCUACCAUGUUGAAAUCCCACUAUGCAUGAUCCACCUAUAGAUCAAGUUGCUUAUCCAAGCAAAAUCCUACAACCCUUGGUCGCAUUCGACCCCAGAAUAGAAUGAUAGACGAACUUUAGAUUCACUAGUAGACUAUAACCCAGACCUGAUCACACGUAUAUCGAAUUAACUCUAAUGCCAUCAUAAAUACCCGCCGUUACACAUGAAGGACCACUACUAUGAACAUAAUUGGGAGUCCUUAACUUCACAUUCACUCGCCACAAAGCCCAUACUGGAUCGAGACUAAUCCGAUUCUACCAAUACAGAACUAGCCCGAGAAGACUUCCACAAUUAUCCCGAAGGUUACCGCCACACGGGUCUAAUACAAAUCAAAAUUCUAUUUCACCAUUGGGGAGAAACAUACCCCAAAUACUUUCGGGACAUAAAAACACUGCAUAAGGGAAUGGGUGGCAUGAUCCUAGCUUCGUAACUGUCACCUCUUGAAUCCCAUUCGGAGAAUUCCUGCUCCCUGUGGGUUCACAACUUAAUGUCUGUCCGACCAUUUUGGAAAACAUAAUCUGAGCAGCAACAGACAAAACCUUCAAUGGAUGAUGCGCAACCUAAGAAUUACCAAUUCUCCCCUACUUAGAACACUAACCACCACCCACUAGUGUGAAACCCAAAAAAACUUAGCUGACAAUCCCUGAUGCUUGAAUGAUCCCACUCUCAAAUCUUGAAGUCCAGAGAUAGAUGCUCUACUAAUACUUCAGCAACAAGCUUUUUCCCUUGGCGCUCUUAUACGCCAAUUAAUAACGAUUACUAAAAACCAUUGAAUCCUGAAAAUGUCGAAUAACUAUCCCAUAGGACUCUAUCUGCAACCUCCCAUAUAAUACCCUUCUUCCCAAAGUGCUCCGACAAAUCUCCUACCCUCAGCUCUAGAAAUACUAUCAAUCAGGGUUUCGCACCCCGACUUACUCACCAGCUCGAUCAUCCAUAUCUAAACUACAGUAGCCGAAGCAACCUAUGCCCUAAACCGGGUUACAAACUACUCCCAAGACAUAGUCUCCAGUCCCCAAAAGUGCAAUAGAUCAUAGAAUCAAUCCUUACAGCCCGAUAUAAGAGAUCCAAGUCGAACCGGACCUCACAACAUACUCAUGCCACAUCGACCCACCCACGCUUACUAGCGUUGAAAUACUGUUGCCAAUCUUGGUGACCAACUAACCUGAGCUGGAACACAACCUGAACCUAGGGUCGCAAGCCUGCUCAAUGCUCAGAGCUCGAACAACUGGAAGAGUAUAAUCCUUGCCCUAGGAAACGACAUUCUUAUCCAUCUAUUAUCCGUUCUACUUCCAACUACAAAACUCUAACUGAUCAUAAUCAUCUCCCCCUUUCAGAGUCCCUGCAACUCGAAUCCUGGCCUCAAGCAUGACCCCUGAAGCCUCCAACUAGGAAACUAAUAUACUAACUUCUCCCGCUCAACCUGCAGUGUGCAUCGAGUAUGUAACAUUUCCCCAAUUCCAAGUAACUGCAGCCCACUGGUCACCAAAAUAUGCCCCAGUGACAAGUCUCGGUACUGCAAGCUCGACCAGCUCCUUCCUCCUGCCGCAGUUACAGCUUUUGUAGCCGCGGCGGCGACCGUCCCUGUAAUGGAUGCAUAGCACUCACCGAAAUACUCAACCAUGACGGUCUUGAUAGACCCAAACAUCUCUGACAAUUUUUUUCCCGGACCAUCUCGAUCACCCCCUCCCGGAUGAUCUCACUAACAAUCCUCUGACAAUACUGACGUAUCCUGACUGAUAGCUCUCGAUCCUGACAUGGCUUCAGUCUCAAAACGCCUUGUAAUCACCAUUCUAGCAAUACACCAGAAAGAUCUCGAAUAACCCAUAUGCUAACAGGGAACCAACUCCCAACCAACCCUAGGGGUUGUGACUUCCUUGCUACGCGUAUAGGUUCUGUGCUUUCAGUAGUAUGGGCCCCUACUACCUUCCACACCUACCCAUAUUUGUCUCAAGUAUCACCACAACACUCUGACAAUAUACGUAAACAUAGCGAGCGCUCAAUACUCACUCCUAGAGGAAUGUUGGAUAUCUCAUAACUGGCCUCCCGGCCUCUCACAACCCACCUAUCCAUGAAACUUCCACCACCCCAGCAGCACUAGUGUAUGCUAGCCAUACAUAAUGCUGGACCCUAUAGACUUUCGAAUAUCCAAUACCCUAAGCUCCCAAUUAAACAAGAACAUAACAUAAGGCCAAAUCAAACAUUCUCAGGCUAUAAGAUCUUAUUUAUGUAUAACCGUGAUGCCUACACUAGAUAACUACAGUAAUGAUGUCAAUUUCAUAUAAGAUAAACCCUAGGCUAGCAGGCAUCAUGUAAUCAGGCAAUUAUACCAUGCAAUUCUUGAAGAUCGCUAGCCUAGUACUAGCAUGCUGUUCUAACAUAUCACGUAAUCAAAUAACUGUAUGGUAUUUUGGGGUCUACUUACUGGGUCCGGCUGAUCGUAAACUUCGCAUCCUCUUUUAGUUAUUUUGAAAACCAUAUAAAAAAACAUUUUGAAAAUAUUACCUUGAUUUGAGACUGGAUUCACACGAAUGUUCAUCCAAUUCACUCAAACCAAGGCUCUGAUACCAACUUGUAACAUCCAAAAUUUCGAACCAAUUUAAACUUUUAAAACUUAUCAAGUUCAUCAAAACGUUACAACUUUGUUUUCAAAAUAUAUUGAUUAUCAGAGUUUUUCCUAGAAACAUAAACAUAAUAGGAGAAACUGUACGAUCACGCCUCCGCCUUGCCGCGAUACUCUGAUGUACCUGAAACAAUAAGCUGAAACUGUAAGCUCGAAAGCCUAGUGAGUUACCCCCAAAAUACUGAUACACAUACAGUCCACAUAGCAAUAUCAACAUUAGCAUAGAAUAUCAAUAAAACAUAACAGCAUAUACUGGGUCUACAGCUUAACAGGCUGGACUACCCCUGGGCCAUCAGUACGAGUCUGGAAUGCCUACCGAGCCUCAGCUCGUAUCUGGAAUGCUCCUGAGUCGUCAGUAUGAGUCUGGAAUGCCUACCGGGCCCUCAGCUCGUAUCUGGCAUACUCCUGAGUCCUCAGUAUGAGUCUGGAAUGCCUACCCGGCCCUCAGCUCAUAUCUGGCAUACUUCUGAGUCCUCUGUAUGAGUCUGGAAUGCCUACUGGGCCCUCAGCUCAUAUCUGGCAUACUCCCGAGUCCUCAGUAUGAGUCUGGAAUGCCUACCGGGCCCUCAACGCAUAUCUGGAAUACUUUAGGGGUUGUUGGCUACCGCAUGGAGCAGUGCAACCUCAACCUAACCCACAUAACAUAUAACAUAGCUACUAAGCAUACAAUAAUUAUAUAACAUCAUAGGUAGUCCUACAGGUCUACCUAACUGGCAUAACCACUAACAUGCAACACAAACUCAUUCUCAACAUGAAACACUACUAGGAUAACAUAUCCAAUGGGUCGGCCUUGGUGCCUUAGACCCCUUAGUAUAGUGAGGAUAACUCACCUUGCAACUGCCGAACCGAAUCACAAGAGCACAAUCCAGAAGCACCGCUUCAAACUCCAACACCUACAUCCAUCAAUAAUCAUUGGCAUAAAUAUCCAAAUUACCAUAAUACCCCUGAAGGUCAAGGUCAAAGUCAACCUUCCUGAUUAACUCUACUCGCCGAGUCAACCUGUCGACUAGCCGAGUUUUCAUAUCCAGAAAACUCUCAUAGCACGACUUAACUCGCCGAGUCGCCCUAAGACUCGUCGAGUCCAACAAUUUCUGAGUUCCAUCAUGACCAAAUCACUGAGUCCCCAACCGAAUCACUAAUCCAAGGCUUUAACUGAAAGUGGUUUGGUUUUGCGAGCAGACUCGCCGAGUCCAAAAACAGACUCGCCGAGUCCAAAAACAGACUCGCCGAGUUCACGACAAUCUUCAAUAAACUCGCCGAGUUGUUCUUCGAACUCGUCGAGUCCAAGCUCAUCAUCAUAAGACUCGCCGAGUCACCCAUGCGACUCGUCGAGUUACUACGCGACUCAAUAUCUAAUCUCUAGCCCUACUCGCCAAGUCAUCUCCCAGUCUCGCCGAGUCCAUACGUGCAUUCUCAUAAUCUCGAGUCAUAGAGCUACUCCUUUGCUCCAAAUAAGAGAUCUGGGUCUCUAGGGUCAAUUAGCAACAUAAAGUUGCCACCUUUACGUGCUUCUUGCCCCAUAAUACCAAAAACCAAGCUAGAAAGGGACUUAACUCUUGGGGAAGGGAUUUUGCAUAAAAACUAGAAAGUCUUUCUGCAUCAAUGAUCCAUAUAGAACUUUGAUCUGGAGUUUCAACUCCAGAUCUAACUCAUGCUUCAAGAUCUCAUCAAUAUUUCUCCAACCAAACCCUAAAACUCCAUGAAAAUGGAACUAGAAAGGAGAAGGCCAAGGAUAACGAUUCCUUACCUCCAAAAUGAUCUCCCACUGAAGUAGUCCGGAUCUAUUCAAGUCUCCUUGAUCCAAGCUUCUUGAUCUCCAAGAUCCUUUCACAAAUCACUCCAAUUUGCUUCCAAGUCUUCUCACAAACGAAAUUAGGGCUUCUGGAUCUCAAAAGGGUAGCAAAGAGGCUGAGGGUGGGUUAUAUUGUGCUUUAUAUAGGGGACAACCCCGGGAUUAGGGUUUUCUCCCUUCAGCACCAACUCGUCGAGUACAAGCCGCCGACUUGGCGAGUUGGCCACUUAAACCCGCGACAAAUCCCGCUCCGACUCGGCGAGUAAGCAUGUCUACUCGUCGUGUCCCUUUCCUUAAUUUACAAUUUAAGCCCUUCAACAACACCUCUGGAAUUUAGGGUGUUACAAAACCCAUGUGAAGCGUAAGAAAUCAUCUACAAUAACAAGUAUAAACUUACUGCCAUCGAUGCUUUCAGUAGCCGAAGGUCCACAUAAGUCAAUAUGUAGAAGUUCAAGAGGUUCAAUGAUCUUUGUGUUGAUAUGAGUAGGAUGACUCUUUCGACUUUUCUUUCCCAUUUCGCAUGCGGCGCAGAAGUGUUCCUUAUCAAACUUGAGAAGGGGAAGUCCUCGCACAUGAUCGCCAAACACCAGCUUGUUCAUAUCUUUGAAGUUCAUGUGUGAGAGCCUUCGGUGCCACAACCAACUUUCAUCUGAGUUUGCCUUCGUCAGUUGGCAUAUAGCUGGCUUUCCUUGUAUUGGGUUGAGAUUUAGAGGAUACAUCUCUCCUUUGCGUUUGGACUUAACAAAACUUUCUUCGUUUGCUUUUCUAUUAUCUUAGAACCCUCAUCAUUAAACGAAACCUUCAAGCCAGUUCCCACAACUAGUUGAGAGACACUGAUGAGAUUGUGCUGCAAUCCUUCUACAUAAGCUACUUUUCGUAUUGAGAAUUCACCAUUGGUGAUCAUCCCAUACCCUUUGAUCGUGCCAUAUGAGUUAUUCUCAUAUUUAACACAUCCAUCAUCCUUAAGUGACUGAAAUUCCCUUAGCUCUUCUCUCCUUCCUGUCAUGUGACGAGAGCAGUCACUGUCGAUAUACCAUUCAUCAUCAAAGUGCUCGUCACUGAUAACCUGCAAAGAUUCAGCAGACUUAGGAACCCAAUGUUUCUUGGGUCCUCGUGAGUCUUUUACAGAAUAUGGAAUUGCAAUCGAAAGAUCAACCAUGUAUGUUCUUUUUAUUAAAGUGGUUUCAUCUUUUCUUUUAAGGGUCUAGACUUUGAUUUUAUUUUCAUCUAUUUUUGGUUGUGGUGAUUCUGAUGAUUUACUUUUAGUUGGAAUUUUAGUUGAAUUUGUUGUGUUAGUCCUAGGGUUAGUUGACGUUUUCUCAAUGUGAGCUUCGUUAUUCGAGUUGAGCUUUCCUUUUCCUUUGAUAUCCUUCACCGAGUUAGGUUUUGAUGGGAAAUGAGGAGGAUGGGAUUUAGGACUGAAACUGGACUUUCAGUUCUGAGCAUUGGUAGAGUUAGGACCGAAUCUACCUUUUAGGUUUCGGCCCUUCUAAUUGCAUGACUGGCAGUGGUUGCAAGAAGGAGAUUUGACUCUUGACUUCUCGUUUACCUUGAGAUUGGUCGCCUUUUUAGAGUGAACAUAAUUAGGGUUUUAGGACUGCGAAAACUGUUUUCUCUCAUUGAGAUUCUUCUUGUAUCUCUUGUUCCUCUGCCUUUUCGGUUCAGCAAGUUGCUCUUGAUUCUUGUGAAUGUUCGCUCUAGAUUUCGGUUUUUCUUUGUAAGCUUCGGUUGUAGUUGAAGAUACACUGGAUGCUUUCUUUGGUUCGUUUGGUAUCUCUUUUGUGCUACUUGAGCUUGGUUUAUCGAAACUUGAAGGAUUAUUGAUAGGUUCAACCACGUAUCUUCCUUUGACCCUCCAUGAAGUUCGCUCCGAUAGACCAACCGUUUCGUCUACAUUGUCAAUUGGAGCAGACCAGAAGAAAUUAUCGGAACCUUCAACGUUAUCUUUAUCUACCAUGGAUAUCAAUUCUGCCGUUUGUUUCUUUGUUACUCCUUUAACAACAUAUACUUGGUUCAGCAUUGUUUUCACCCUUUGAUAGACAACCGCCUUUUCUUUGAGGAUUUUGGAUUUGUUCUUAAAUAAGCGAGCAAAAUCAACAGAAUUUUCAGGAAUGAGUGGUUUCGCUAACUCAGGUUCGCUCUUAAGAAAUUCUGAACAAUCGAUCUCAUCCUCUACUGAGAUUUUGCUCAUCUCACUGUAAUCAUCAAAUUCAGAAGUGGUUUCUAAAUUCAUUUUAUGUUUUGAACUUAAUUUGGCAUUUGAUGAGUCAAACUUUUGUAUGGUCUCAGUCUUGAUUUUUAAUUUGUCAUUUUCAUCUAGCAAAUUCCUAAGCAUGCAUUUAUGUUCUUUGGAUUCAAUAAAGGUCUCAGUUUUGUCUAGUCCAUAUUUGUAAGUUUCUGAAAUCUCAUCUGAUGACACAAUGGAUUCACAUUCAGCAAUGAUUUCAUCUUCCUUAAAUUCAAGGAAGGGCAAAAUCAUUUUGUGAAUCUUCCUACCAAUCUCACAGUCUAAGUGCAACUGAGUGAUGUUUGUGUAUAAACGUUUAGCUAUUAAACAAAAAACAUUCCUUUGUUUCAAAAACUUCAAAUUGUCAUGUUGUAAAUAAAUAAGUUCAUCCUUAUCCCUAACUAGCUCUGUUUCCUUCAGCUCUAUCCACAUCCUUCUUUCCUCACUCUUGGAAGUCACCCUGCUGAGUUGAUCAAUUAGGUUAGUAUUCGCUAGGCGUGUUUACAUUAGAAUACCACUUAAGUUAGAAAAAUUGAAUUUUAAUUCGUUUAAUUCUGUUUCAUAGUUUGUAACAGGUAUUUUAUGCGAUUCAAGUAUGGAUUGUACCUUCUUGAUCAACUGAUCGCAGUCAUUGAUCCUUUCACUCACAGGCUUGACAGCGAAGCAUUUGUCUUCCAUCAGCCUCACAUCAUCAUGCUCACCUUCGGUUCUAUAUCCCUUCAUCCUUGACACUCCAGCUGUCACCAUCAAGCAUCUUCCAGCUGACUCAGUAAGGUCUUCUCUCACCACAAAUUCUUUUCCAUGCAUAGGUCUACGUACCUCUUCAUCUUCAGAGUCUGUAGACCAUACCUCUACUCCACCUAACUCAUCAUCAUCAAUGUUCCCUUGCACAAUUAAAGCAUUCAGAGGACUGUUAGUUGCUUUCUUCUUCUUUAUCUCCUCCAGCUUUCGCAAGUAGUAGGCUUCGUCUUCUUCACCAUCCUUUUUCUUAGCCAUUUUUCUUAGCAUGCAGUCCUAGGCAAAAUGGUUUUUGCCGUGACAGUAGUUGCAAUCGUACCCAGAGUCUCCUGAAAGGUUUCUCUCCUUCUUUUCAUCGUCCUUUAGAGAAGUAUUAUUGGUUUCCUCUUUCGCUUUCUCUGAACUGUAGCUCCCCUGCUAGUUUCGGUUCUUGUUGGCUGGGAACUUUUUACGAGCAAACUUCUUUGGGUUUGUAACAAUCAUUGCAUAUUCUUCAUUGGUCAGGUCACAUUCUGACAUAUCCGAUUCUUCUUCUUCUUCUUCUACCACACUCAUUCCUUUAGAAAGAAGAGCCAAGGAUCCCACACCCGAAACUACCUUCACUUCCUUUGACACCACACUUUCAUGAGAUUUGAGAAUUCCUACCAACUUUGCCAACGAAUAACUUUUAAAUUGCUCCUGUGCCUUCAUAGUUGAGACCACAACCAUCCAUUCGGGUCUUAACCCAUUCAUAAAAGUAACUUUUUGUUCAAUCACUUCUCUUCCAAUUCCAUUCUUGAUCAUCUUGCUAAGCAAGUGGUUAAAUCGAUCGAAUGCUUGAAUGAGUUUCUCCUCAGGUUUUUGUUUGAAAGCACCGUACUCAAAGAGCAACAGAGUUUGAAUUGAGUGCUCUAGAUCCUCAUCAGUAGAAUAUAAUUCUUUUAGUCUAUCCCAUAUUUCUUUUGCAGUGGUGCAAGGACUUACUAGACGAAAUGUAUCAGCUUGCAAAGCGAAUCUGAUCAUUCUCAUGGCUUUAACGUUACAUAGCACCUUAUCUUUCUCAUCUUGAGGGAUAUUUUCUACGUCUAUCAGGAGUUGAUUGCACUCCUUUUGAGUAUUGACAAUAUGCGUUCCAGAGUGAACAAACGGACCCAAUGUUAUCGCCUCCCAGAUAAGAUAACCAUUAUCUUCAGAUCCAACGACGUAGUUUUAACACCGUAAAAUUUCAAAAAAAAAAUUCACAUUUUAAAAACAAUUUAAUUCACAAUAUUAUAAAACACAUUGUUUCUUAUAUUAAACAUAAGUCAAAAUUCCAAGAUCAUAACAUAUAAAUAAAACUCCGCGUGUGUACUGAUCAUGCCGGCGCCUUCCCGUGAUCCUCACUAGUACCUGAAACACAUAACACAAACACUGUAAGCAUGAAGCUUAGUGAGUUCCCCAAAAUACCACAUAUAGCACAUAUUAGCCACUCAAGGCUAUGACUCUGGUGGGCCCUUGGGCCCUAACUUUGUGGACCCCCUGGUCCUAGCUCUAUGGACCUUCCGGUCCUAACUCUGAUAUACUCACAGCAUAAAUCACAUAGAAAUAAUGCAGUGCAACACAUCACAUAGAUAGCACACAAGAUACUCUAUCACAUAACUCUGGUUACCUACGUAAGGUAAAGUAUAGUGAGAAGACUCACCUCGGAUGUCUCGGUAAUAUCUUGCUCGCGUAACUCUGAUCUAGCCUCUGCCUAAACACAUAAACGAUCAUCUCAAUUAAUAACGACUCUCCAUGAUAGACUAGAUCCUCACAUGUCCUCUAAGAAGGAAAAAAGACCAUUUUACCCUUUAAACAGUCCACAAGUCUAAUUGUUGACCAAACCCUAAAAGUCAACAAAAGUCAACGGUCAACCCUUUGACCAGACUCGCUGAGUGCACAAUUGUGAUUCGGCGAGUUCAGUCAUGAACUCAAGUCCUCUAAAUCCCCAAUGACUCACCGAGUCACUUCCCCAACUCAGCGAGUCACCAACUGUGUGAUUCAUGGGGAAAAACUAUCCUACUCGCCGAGUCUGCUCUUGGACUCGGCGAGUUCAUGCCAUGCUCAAACUCAAAUGACCUCCUGAGGUCAUAUAUGUUCCUCCAAUCCAUAGAUCUGGCCUUUCCAACCACUAUAAUCACAUAAAGGUCUGACCUUUACACUUAUGCAAUGACCAAAAAGCUUCUUUGGGUGAAAUAACCCCUAAAAUGGAAACCUAGGGACACAUCUCUAAUGGAGUAGCAAAAAGCAAUGUGAAUAGGACUCUCUGGACCUCUUAAGGUCCAGAUCUAAGAAGAAAUCCACCUUAGGACCUCACAUACUUCGAAUCCAGCCAAAGAAUGCACAAGAAAACCCUAGAUUCAACUAUAACACCAAAUACACGAGUUUGAGCGCAUAUUAGUACCUUUAGUAGCCUCCUCUGAUGAAAUGGAUGAUAGAUCUGAGCUCCUCAACCUUCCUUGUUUGUCCUCCUUGCUUCUUUCUUGUAAAAUCACACUUAGAAUGAUGAAAUAGCCCUCCUCUUGCACUACAAGCCUUCUCUCUGCUCUCUAGGGUUUCUCAGGGUCUGAUAGCCGCAAAUGGUGGCUAUAAAGGUCCUUAAAUAGGGCUCAGGCCCCGAGAAUUAGGGUUUCAUUAAACAACAUGGACUCGGCGAGUCCACGCAUGGACUCGCUGAGUCCGCCAUUAAAUCAGUCCAGCCAUGCGCGAUCCUACUCGGCGAGUAUGAGCGCCUACUCGCCGAGUCCGUCUCCAAAACUCAAUAUAAAUGCAUAAAAUAAGACACCUGGGAAUCCGGAUGUUACAGUAGUCUUAGAAGUGGUGCGUCCACACUUCAUAAUCUUGAGUAUAGAGAAUGGGAAUCCUAGUAGUGGAUCCAAUGCUGUUGGAGAUGUUGAUGGUAUUGGAUUGAGAGUCGUCGUGAGACAUGAUGAGCUUUUCUAAUCUCUGUUAGAAUCAGACUUGUAAACAUGAACUAAGGGUUUUAUCAAACACAAGAGACACUGUAACACCCCGAUUCUCAAGUAUUGAUUUAAAUAAGAAUUCUUUUGUUUCCAAGGUCUACUCGACGAGUUGGUUGCCCUACUCGUCGAGUAGCAGCGGGUUGGUUCACGAAUUUAGUGGCCUACUCACCGAGUUCAAGAAGGGACUCGACGAGUAGGAGCUGGUAGAUGAAACCCUAAAUCCUAGGGUUUUGCACCCUAUUUAAAGAAACACAACAUCCUUUGGCCUCUCUAUAGUCCAUUAAGAGUCUAGAAAGGCCCUAACUCGAGUGCGUGUGUGUUCUUUGGAGGUUUAAGCUUGGAGGGAAGUUUUUGGUGAAGAAAUCACUUGGGAAAGGGCUCUCCUGAAGGUAUUAGAUCGUUUUUCCCUUGGCUCAUUUUCUCCUAAACCCUUUUAUGCAUGAGUUUAGGAAAGGUUUCUUGUGUUUAAGCCAAGAUCUGAAGUAGUAACUUGAGAUCUAGACUUCCCUUGGCUUCUAGAUUCAUAAAGUCAUCGGAUUUGCCUAGUAUGAGCCUUCUCUCAAGGAUGUGACAUCAUUGCAAGCUUAGUUGUGCCAUUUUAGGGUCUUAAAGCCUUACAUGCAUGUAAAGUUUGCAACUUUACGUGAUAAGCAUGCCCAAGGAAGUUGGAUCUGCAAUUUGGGGCCUUGGCAUGGCUUAAAAAGUGUCUGCAUGGUUAAAGGGCUGAAGGGACUCGGCGAGUCAUAUGAAGAUAGGCAUUGAACUUGACGAGUUGGAUGAACAACUCGGCGAGCCCAAUGAAGAUUGCCAAAGACUCGACGAGUUGGAUGAACAACUCGACGAGUCGUUUAAUGUUUCCGCAAAUUAAUGAAUGCAUGUGAACCUGUCGAGUUGCAAGAAGGAAACCCGAUGAGUGGUCUUAGGGCUUCGAUCGCGAACCAUAGGAACUCGACGAGUAUCUCGAGGAACUCGGCGAGUAGCCGAGGGUACUCGACGAGUAAGGGUCAACAUGGACUGUUGACCUUGACUGUUGACUUUGACUUUGACCAAGGGGUUGACUAGUUGACUUAUGGGGUACCUUGGAAGAUUGAAAACUUAUGAGUAUGGUUCUAUUAUGAUAAUAGGUGGUGGAGUUGCAGUCAUGAUCUGAGAGUUGGAGUUUAGUUAGCGAGCCGACAUUUUCUAGGUGAGUUAUCCUCACUAUACUAAGGGGUCUAAGGCACCAAGGCCGGCCCAUUGGAUUUGAUAUCCUAGCAGUUAUUGAUAUGCUGAGUUGAGUUAGUGAUGUAUGCCAGUUGAUAUGCUAGUCGGGUAGAUUUGUAGGACUACCUGUGAUACUGUAUUAUUAUCUGUAUGUGCGUUAGUUAUGAUACAUGUUGAUAUGUUAUGUGGGAUGGGUUGAGGUGAGACUGCUUUGUGCGGUAAUCCAACAAACUCGGGAGAAUUCUAGUUACGGGCUAAGGGAGACUCGUACUAUGGGCUUGAUGGAAAGCCAGAUGUGAGCUGUGGGCCGGAAGCAAUCCAGACUCACACUGUAGGCCCAGGGGGGUAAUCCAGCCUAUAAGGUUGUGGACCCAUUUUAUGCUGUUUCAGUUUAUUAGGUUAUGAUGUUGCUGACAUGGUGAUGUGGACUGUAUGUGUAUCGGUAUUUGGGGGAACUCAUUAAGCUUUCGGGCUUACAGUUUCAAUUUAUUGUUUCAGGUACUUCAGGAGAUCGGGGCAAGGCUAAGGCGUGAUCGUAUAGCUCCUCACUUUUUAUGAAUUUGUUUCUGGGAUACUCUAAUAUGAUACUUUUUGGAAAACAAGUUUGUAAUGUUUAAUGGAUUUGAAAUGUUUUAAAAGUUUAAAUUGCCUCGAAUUUUUAUGGGUAUUACAAGUUGGUAUCAGAACCUUGGUUUGAGUGAAUUGGAGGAACAUUCGUGUGAAUCCAGUCUCAAAUCACGGAAGGGUUUUCAAGUGAUUUCUAAAAUGGUUUUCAAACUAAGUGAAAGAGGAUGCAAGGUGUACGAUCAGCUGGAGCCAGUAAGUAGAUCCCAAAAUACUGUAUAACUAUUUGAUUAUGUGAUAUGUUAGAACAACAUGCUAGUAAUAGGCUAGGGAUCUUCAGGAGUUGCAUGAUAGAAUUGCCUGAUUACAUGAUGCCUGCUAGCCUAGGUUUUUCCUUAUAUGAGAUUGACAUCAUUACUGUAGUUACUUGUGUAUGUAUCACGACUGUAUGUCAUCAAGAUCUUAUAGUCUGAGAAUGUUUAAUUCAACCUUAGGGUAGGAUCGGAUAUUCGAAAGUCUAUAGGGUCGACCGUUAUGGAUGGCUAGCCUACACUAGCACUGCAGGGUUGAUGGAAAUUUCAUGGAUGGGUGGGUCGUGAGAAGCCAUGAGGGAAGUCGUGAGGUGGUUUAGCAUUCCUCUAAGAAUGAGGGUUGGGCACUAGCUAUGUUAUGUAUAUUGUUAGGGUGUUGUGGUGAUACUUGGGACAAAUAUGGGUAGCUAUGGAAGGUAGUAUGGGCCCGUACUACUGAAAGCACAGGACCCAUACGCGUAGCAAGGAAAUCACAACCCCUAUGGAUUAGUCGGGAGUUGGUCCCCUAUUGUUAUGUGAUUAUCUGAUAUCUGUUGGUGUGUUUUCAGUAUGGUGAUGACGAGACGAUUUGUGACUGCAUCCGGGUCGGCAUCAGGAUCGGGGGACGGAGGCCAGGAGGUGCCGAUAGCACCUGAGCCUGUGGUACAGAUGGGGAUGGAUGAGCUAGAUGCCAGGAUUUGAGAGAUCCUGCAUGAUGAGGUUGCUGCUUUGUUCCGAGCGCAGCUACCAAAGAUGUUCGGGUCUAUUAAGACCACUAUGAUUGAGUAAUUUGACGAGCGUUACGCAUCCCUUGCAGAGACGGCUACCGCCGCAGCUGCAUCAGUUGUAACAAUGACAAGAAGAGGUGGAGCUAGACGGGGUUUCCAGUACCGGGACUUUGAUAACACGAAGCCCUCGAUGUUUGAUGGUACACAAGAUGAGAUUAGAGCUAUGAGGUGGUUGUCUGACGUGGAGGGUUGUUUCUUCACGUGUUCAUGCCCUACUGACCAAAAUUUCAGAUGUGCCCAGAACGUACUGAGGCCAGGGGCCAAGGAUUGGUGGAGAUUGACGACCAGAUUAUACACUGAUGAUCAGAGAGUUGCUGUUACUUGGGAGCAGUUUAGGGAGAUGUUCCACUCCCGCUUUGUUCCACGGGUGGAGCGGGAGCGGUUGGCUCAGGAGUUUUUGAGUUUGAGACAGGAUGGAGAGUUGGUGAUGGAGAUCACCUGUAUGUUUAUGGAGGGGGCGAUGUUCUGCCCAAAGUUUUCUUCCGAGUAGGCUCAGAUGACUCGUUAUUUGAGCAUGCUCAAGACUGACAUCCGUCAGUUUGUGUCCACCCAACGAUGUGAUACUCUGUUGGAGUUGCGAGAGGCUGCUAGGCGGCGUGAGUUGGAGAUCGAGCUACAUUUGAGGGAGCAGCGUCCGACCCCGACAUAGUCUCAGCCAGCGCCGAAGUGGUCUAUGACCGCUGAUUCUAGGGCUGGAGGUCAGCAGGGACGCACAUGUGGGAAGUGUGGUAGGAGUUAUUCUGGAAUGUGUCGAGCGGGUAGCGAGCGACACAGGUGUGGCAAGGAUGGGCAUUAUGCGAAGGAUUGCCGCCAAGGCCACCUGGUUUCAGGUAUGAGGUUAUGCUACCACUGUGAUCAAGUUGGCCAUGUGAAGACCAACUGCCCAUUGCUAGCCGCCAAGCCGGCAUAGGUUCCAACGCCAACUACUUUAAGGAUCACUGAUGGGAGGCCUGUUAAGGCCGAGCCUCCAAAGGCUCAGGAGCGUGCUUUCCAGCUUAUGGCAGAGGAGGCCAGAGCAGCACCAGAUGUGGUUGCUAGUAUGUCUCUUUCCUUUACCUUGUUUAUUAUGUCUAUGUUAUGCUUAUAUGUUGUACAUGUGCUUAGGUAUGUUUUUAGUAAACUCCUUGCCUGCUUUAGUUUUAUUUGACUCGGGGGCGAGUCGGUCUUUCAUUUCUCAGACGUUCAGUAGGGGGUUUGGUGUACUAGUUGACGAGCUAGAGUGUCCUUGCGAGUUUCUAUCGCUAAUGAACAUGGGUACCGAGGAUGUCAGUUGGAGAUCUUCGAAGUGGUCUUUCCGAUAGAUUUAAUUUCGAUUCCCAUGGGGGAAGUAUGCGUGAUUGUUGGUAUGGAUUGGCUUAGUCGUUUUGGUGCCAUGAUAGAUUGCGAGGGCCAGAGAGUGGUAGUUCGAACCCCAAGUGAGGGAGAACUGAUUGUAUAUGGCGAGGGCAACAUAGUGGGGUCGGGGUUCUAUUCAGCUGCCAGAGCUCGACAGUGUAUUCGGCACGGAUCUGCGGGUUACUUAGCGUACAUGGUGGAUACGCGAGUUAGAGACCAGAUUUCAGUUUUAGAGGUUACAGUGGUCUGGGAUUUUGCAGACGUGUUUCCGGAGGAGUUGCAAGGGAUACAUCCGGAGAGGUAGGUCGAGUUUCGGAUCGACUUGGUGCCGGGUGCGGCUCCUAUUACCAAGGCGCCGUACCGUUUGGCACCACCCAAGAUGCAAGAGUUGUCUUCAUAGCUGCAGGAAUUGUUGGGCAAGCAAUUCAUUUAACCUAGCAGUUCUCCCUGGGGAGCACCGAUCCUCUUCGUAAGGAAGAAGGAUGGAUCGCACCGGAUGUGCGUUGACUAUAGGGAGUUGAACAAGUUGACGGUGAAGAACCGUUAUCCACUCCCGAGGAUAGAUAUUCUAUUCGACCAGUUACAGGAUGCAUCUUGGUUCUCCAAUAUUGACUUGAUAUCGAGGUAUCAACAGGUCCAGGUUAGAGAUGAGGACGUUUAGAAGACCGCGUUUCAGACGCGUUAUGGGCACUAUGAGUUUGUGGUGAUGCCGUUUGGGCUCAAUAACGUGCUGAAAAUAUUCAUGGACCUGAUGAAUCGGGUCUACAGACUGAUGUUUGAUCGCUCGGUCAUCAUGGUCAUUGAUGAUAUCUUGGUGUAUUCCAAGACCCGAGAGCAGCACGAGGAGCACCUUAGGGAGCUGUUGGAGGUUCUGAGAUGGGAACGGCUGUAUGCCAAGUUCUCGAUGUGCAAGUUUUGGUUACAAGGUAGACCAGACUUCUUGAAAUUGCUAAUUUUGAAAAGAGGUGGUUAAUGUCCCAGCUCAUUAAACAUGUGCAUUAUCUGAGCACUUGUGAAUUGAAAGAAUGGUGAUGAAUUUGGAAUUGCCAAUAUUUGAGUAAAGGUCUUCUUUGUAAGUCUCACUCGUUUGUCAUUCACCAAAUUAAAUGUGAUGACAUCAGUGGCUUUGUUGUAAGAUGCAGUAGAACCCACCAUUGACAACCAGGACAACGAAACUUCAAAGGCAUUAAGCAUGGCAGUUGCAAGACCUGAAUUUUGAAGAGCAGCAAUCAGCAUCUUGAGUUCAUAUGGAUACAAUGAGAAAUUGCCUUUAACCUGAUAGUUAGUGCUUUGAAUCUUCAUAAUCGAUUGAGAAACAACUUCUUCAGUAGUAGUAUUUUAAGUAUCAACCAUUUUCGAAAAGUGAACAGAAAUUUUGAAGAACAGAGAAUUAGGGCUUUAUGAUAUUUUGAGAUUUUGAACGUGUAAGUAUAAAAGGAUAUAUAAACAGCCUUUUAUAUGUUUCUUGUAAAUUUGAAAUUGAAACGGUUUUAGCAUUAAAUGAGAUAUGACGUGGCUCUUUGAAACUCGCACCCUAUAGCCGAUAAACUAGCCAUGUGUGAAAAAGCGACCAUCACAUCACCUUGAAACCCGGAAGGAAUACAAAGAGUCUUGUCAAACAACCUGUUCGUACUAUUCAAUGGAAUUGUAACCGCCACUAGCCUUUGUUAGGAGGUAAGGCUCUUUCACUUUUAGGAUGAAAAGCGAAGUCAUUUGCCAGAGUGUCGAAAUCAUCAGCCUGAGUUGGUAAUACUCAGAACCUCAAGGAUUUCGUGAGUGCAGUGUGCCAAAGAAAUAAGAUGAGAAGCAAACUUAACGAAAAUUUGGAGUGUGUGAUGUCGAAAAGAAAAUUUUUGACACAAAGGCAGGUAAACCCCGGGCAAAGGUUGCUUCAUUAAUCAUCAAGAGAGAUGAUCAACUGCUUGUGCGGUUUGCCGUGAAAUACAUUCUAAUACUUAUAAAGAAGUAUCGAAGGGCUUCUUUUUCAAGGUUUCGUGGGUGGCUUAAUAUUUCAAUAUAUAUCAACCUAAACAUAAGGUGAUUAAUUGUAAUCGAAAUUACCUGUAUGACCAGUGUAGUCAGUGACAAGUAUGCUUUGGAUAAAAGUGAAUGUGACAGUUGAAAGAGAAGAUACUCACACGGAAAUCAUAUUCAAAGAAAAAUAUUGUUCAUCUGGAUCUUCUUGAGAAACAAAUGUCGCGGGUUUCGAAUAUUUGAUCAAGACCACUUAUAACGAAAGAAUAUGAUUUAGAGCAUCAAACAUUGGUACAUAAACAAAUGUUUCAUACAAAUCUGGAACAUAGUUCCCCGUCAAUUCCUUAACAAAUUUAGAAAAUUGGGUUUCACUUUCAUCACGGCCUCAUGAUGUCAGAUCAUUAACACAUAGUGUUAAUAUGUCUAAGUCUCGACUGGUUUGAUCAAAUACCUAUUGGACAUAUGUAAUUGUGUGUGAAAAGUGUAAGAACUUUGGGAGGAAAAAGAUUGGUUUGAAGAACUCAAUUGUACCUCUGUUGUGUUUGGACCAAAUAGAAAACUCUUAACUAAUUUGAGAAGAGCUAGGUAGCUUAGAAGACUAAUGUGAAUACAAGCCUGAUUUGGAAGAAAUAUUUCGUAUGAAAAGAUUUCAUUAAGGCUUUCAAAAUCACACAUUGAGUAAAUGGAGGCUUGGGUCGACUUGCUGCAGCAUGCUUCUAGGGACAUCCUAACUAUUACAAUAUUUCGAAAGUAUACCUUGUCCUAGAAAUGCUAGCAUGCAUCUUGAAAGAUAUUCUUGAUUUCUAUACAUUAGAAGGAAAACAAAGUACAAAAUAACAAACAUCUAAAGAAAAAUAUUUUUGGUCUCUUGUAUUUUUGAAAAGAAAGAAAAUCUUUUUGGGUUUUUGAAAUUUUCGAAAAUUAAAACAAAUAACAUAAGAAAAUCUUUUUGGUUUUUCAAAUUUUUCAAAAUAAAAAAAAUGAAAAAUAAAAUUUUACCAAACUAUCGAAUAUUUUCUUUCCCAAAUGUCGAAAGCGAAGCAUAUCGAAGCGUUGACUAUGAACAGUAACCGUUGACUUUGACAGUUGUCAAUUUGCGCUAUUCUUUCGAAUCAUUCUUACAAACAGACUUCCCUUCGACCAUUCCCAAACCUGUCAAAAUUCUAACAAACGAUUUUUCAUCCAAUGGUUUUGUAAAAAUAUCAGCAAGCUGAUCAGUAGUUUUCACAAAAUGAACUUCGAUAUUGCCAUCUUCAACAUGAUCUUUUAUGAAAUGAUAAUGAAGAGCUAUAUGCUUGGUUUUCGAAUGUUGCACAGGAUUGUGACAAAUACGAAUUGCACUUUGGGAAUCACAAUACAACGGUAUUUUCUUCAUAUUAAUUGCAUAAUAACGUAAUUGACUUUGUAUCCAAAUAAUUUGUGAUGUGCAAGCUGCAGCAGCAACAUAUUCUGCUUCUGCUGUGGAAAUCGAAACACAUGUUUGCUUUUUCGAUUGCCAGCUUACCAACUUCCCAUCAAGCAAUUGACAUCCGUCACUAGCGCUUUUUCUAUCCAAAUUGCAACCUCCCAAGUCAACAUCCGAAGAUGCUUGAAUGAAGAAUCCGGUUUCGAAGGAUACCACUUUCCUAACGAAAUUGUUCCUUUGAGAUAAUGAAAAAUAUUCUUGACUGUAGUGAGAUGUGGUUCUCGUGGAUUCAACUGAUACCUAGCACAAUUACAAACAUAAAACAUGAUAUCAAGUCUACUUGCUGUGAGAUAAAGUAACGAACCUAUCAUGCUUCUGUAAAUAGUCAAGUCAACAACAAGUUUAUCUAACGAAGGUGUCAGCUUAGUGCCAGUUGCCAUUGGUACUCGUAACUUUGUGCUAUUCGUUAAUCCAAUUUUUUCUAGCAAAUUCUAGGUAUAUUUUUCUUGGUUGAUGAAAAUUCCUUCUCUCUUUUGACUAAUAUUCAUACCAAGAAAUUAUUGAUUUUUCUCAUCAUACUCAUCUCAAAUUUAGUUUUCAUCAGAUUUUCGAAUUCUUUAGACAAAGCAGGGUCAGUAGAGCCAAAAAUAAUAUCAUCAAGAUAAAUUUGAACAAGCAUUAGACGAUUCCCAACUUUCUUUCGAAAUAAUGUGGGGUCAACAGAUCCUUGUUUAAAUUUCGAUUGUUUCAAGAAAGAAGUUAGAGUUGCAUACCAGGCUCGUGGUGCUUGUUUUAACCCAUAAACCGCCUUAUCUAAAAUAUAACAAUAAUCAGGAUGUUCUUCAUUUAUAUAACAAUAAUCAGAUUGUUCUUCAUUUAUAAAACCUGGUUGUUCCACAUACACAGUCUCUUCUAGAUCUCCAUUAAAAAAAUGCACAUUUCAUAUCCAUUUGAUAGACAUUGAAAUCUUUGUGAGCCACAUAAGCCAAAAUAUUCGAAUUGCCUCGAGUCUUGCGACAGGGGCGAAAGUUUCUUCAUAGUCUAUUCCUUCUUGUUGUGAAUAACCUUUUACAAUAAGCCUGAAUUUAUUUCGAAUAAUAUUUCCAUCCUUGUCGGUUUUAUUUUUGAAUAUCUAUUUUAAUCUGAUAAUUGAAACAUUUUCAGGUUUAGGAAUUAACCUCCAAACCUUGUUUCUUUCAAACUCAGCCAAUUCAGAUUGCAUUGCAACAACCCAAUCUGAGUGUUCUAUCACACCCCCAAACCAGAACGGCGGAAACGUUCGGGGGCGGAGGACGUCAUAUUCAGUAUCAUAACAGUUCAUAGAAAGGAAAGUACACACCACCAUACAUAUAUAAAGGUUUAAAAAUGUUUACAUCAUUGUAUUCUUUACAUGUUCAAAAGAUAAAUGCAUAAACAUCUUUCAAAAGAAAUAAUUAACGCCAGCGCGUUAAUCUCCAAAAGUUGGUUUCCAAACCUGUUUAACGGUUCCCUGAGAAUACAAGUUAAUUCAAAGAAAAAGUGUCAACAAUUAAGUUGGUGAGUUCAUAAUUGAUUUAGAAACAUUGAAUGCCAUUCCAAAAUGAGUGUAUAAUUUCCAAGAAAAUCCCUUAUUUUAUUAUAAAAGUAUGUAGUGCAUGAGAGUAUUUGUGCUGAAAAACGUAGAUAGUUGAACCAAGAAAAUCCCUUAUUUUCCUAAUAGUUGUUUGUUUAAUGUCCAAGACUAACAAUUGGAAGCAAUCCACAUGCUUUAGAAGAUUUUAAACAUAGAUUUAUAUAACAAACCUAUCAGAAGAUUUCAGUUUGGAUAAUGAAUAACUGUAGUAGCUACUCAUUCAUCAGUCAAAAGUACUAUAAUAGUUGUGUAUCCGAUGAGUUUUAUAACCAUACUAAACAUAAUAUGCCUGUAGCGACGUUCUUCAGGCGUCGUAGCGUUAUGAAAACUGUCACCCCAAAAGACGGACUGUAGCUAACAGUCAGGGCGCGGGAUCAUGACUUCCCGUAUAGAUCUAUACACAUUUGACACGUUCUCCGAACGGGAGACUCUGGUUAUAGACAGGACUUGUAGCGAUACCUUUUAACAAAAAGGCAGUAUUUGAAGAUGUACACGUCUCAUGGAUUCUCAACUAAGUCUGUAUUAAAGUAAUAGUUUUGUGUGCAAAGUUUAUCCUUUUUCACAAUGUUUGACAAAGCAUAAAUCAUAAGUUUUUAGAAUGUAUAAAAUGGUUUAGCAACGAAGGAUACUUUGGAAUUACUAAAUACUUUGUAUAAAUCUAGUGCAUGUGAAGUAUGACAAAAGUUUUCACAUAAUAGUACUAAAUCACAAGUGAUUCAUUUGAUAAUGACGCGUACAGUGAAAUUUUAUGAAAUACACGAUAAUAACCGAAUGUUUACUUGUAUUCCUCCCCUAAAAGAGUAUAAAAGCAUUUAAAAUGUAUUUAAAGUGUGUUUGAAGGGAAUAUGAACUCACUUGGAAGUUUGAAGAUAGCUAGAUGGAAAACCGGGCAGAGUUUCGUCUCGGGAAACGGAUUUUUCUCGGGAUUCUCGGGAAUCUCGGGAGUAAAAUCGACCCUCGGGACUUGAGCAAAAAGACCAGAGCUUCGGGUUUGAACGGGCACGGAAAACGAGGCAAGAUUGUGAGAGAGAGGAGAGAAAUGAGCAUUUUUCUCGGAAGCCCUCGCAUUCUAUUUAUAGGAAGGCUGAACCACCUCCGAACGCGGGGCGUACGNUGAACCGCCUCGGUACGCGGGGCGUAUGCUCGUACGCAGCGCGUACGUGUACGUCAUGCAUGACCGAGUCCUCGACUGCGUGAGGACGCGUACGUCGUUUCUCUGAUGAUCUCCGGACCAGUGAGGGUGCUAUUAGGGACGAGAACUUUUGCCAAUUGCGUGUCACCCACUUCCGCCCAGCACAGAGGUGAUCUGCACUUACGGUCGUAAAGGGCUUCAUAUGGAGCAGUCUUGAUACCAGUAUGAUAACUAUUGUUAUAAGAGAACUCGACCAAAGGUAAGUGAACAUCCCAUGCCUUACCAAAGUCGAUUACACAUGCUCGCAACAUGUCUUCCAAGGUUUGGAUCGUCCUCUCACUCUGUCCGUCAGUUUGUGGGUGGUAUGCUGUACUCAUAUCCAACCUUGUUCCCAUGGAUUUUUGCAAUGAUUGCCAGAAUCUGGAAGUGAAUCUGCUGUCUCUAUCUGAAAUGAUGGACAUCGGUACUCCAUGAAGUCGUACGAUCUCCCGGAUGUAGGUUCUUGAUAGUUUUUCCAUCCUAUCAGUUUCCUUGAUCGGUAAGAAAUGGGCUGACUUGGUUAAUCUGUCGACGAUUACCCAAAUAGUAUCUUGGCCACUCUGAGUUUUGGGCAGUUUGGUUAUGAAGUCCAUGGAAAUCUGCUCCCAUUUCCACUCAGGUAUUUCAGGUUGUUGGAGUAGACCUGAGGGUUUCUGGUGUUCUAUUUUUAUUUUGGCGCAAGUCAAACACUUGCUCACAUAGGUAGCAAUCUCCGCUUUCAUGUUUGGCCACCAGUAGAGUUGCUUGAGGUCUAGAUACAUCUUGUCUGACCCUGGGUGUACGGAGUAUGGAGUCCUAUGUGCCUCGCUCAUAACCACCUCUCUGAAUCCACCAAACUUGGGUGUCCAUAUCCGGUUCAUGAGGUAGCGUGCUCCAUCACUCUUGAUUUCUAAGUUCUUGUCCAUUCCCCUAAGGGCCUCACCUGUCACGUUUUCGGGUUUCAAGGCCUCUAUUUGAGCUUCCUUGACUUGCGCUGACAGGUGCGAAUGGAUCGACAUGGCUAAUGACUUCACUCUUCGGCCAGAGUACUCCUUUCGACUAAGGGCAUCGGCCACGACGUUUGCCUUUCCCGGAUGAUAGCGAAUCUCACAUUCGUAGUCGUUGAGCAAUUCGACCCAACGUCGCUGUCUCAUGUUUAACUCCUUCUGGUCGAAGAUGUGUUGGAGGCUCUUGUGGUCUGUAAAGAUAGUGCACUUGGUACCGUAUAGGUAGUGCCUCCAGAUUUUAAGAGCGAAGACCACCGCUCCAAGUUCUAAGUCAUGAGUGGUGUAAUUGACCUCAUGCGUUUUCAGUUGUCGUGAGGCAUAUGCAAUAACCUUUCCCCUCUGCAUUAGCACACAGCCCAGUCCUUGCUUCGAAGCGUCGCAAUACACCACAAAAUCUUCGGUCCCCUCUGGAAGAGAAAGGAUGGGUGCACUGCAAAGGGCCUGUUUCAAAGUCUGAAAUGCAGUAUCUUGCUUUUCUCCCCAGUUGUAGGUCACACCUUUCUGAGUUUAAGCGGUAAGAGGCUUCGUGAUGCUGGAGAAAUUUUGAAUGAAUCUUCGAUAAUAACCAGCCAGACCUAGAAACUGGCGAAUUUCGGUUGGUGUUGUUGGUGCAGACCAGUUUUCGAUAGCCUUGAUUUUUGCGGGGUCCACGUGGAUUCCUUCCUUGCUGACCACGUGACCGAGGAAGUCCACCUUUCUAAUCCAAAACUCACAUUUUGAGAAUUUUGCAUAAAGUCUCUCAGUCCGUAACGUCUCUAAGACUUGUCUCAGGUGUUGACUAUGUUCUUCUUUAUUCUUUGAAUAAAUGAGUAUGUCAUCUAUGAAUACUAUCACAAAUUUAUCCAGGAAUGGACGACAUACCCGAUUCAUUAGAUCCAUGAAUACGGCCGGGGCAUUGGUUAGUCCGUACGGCAUCACUACGAAUUCGUAAUGUCCGUACCUCGUACGGAAGGCCGUCUUGGGAACAUCACUCUCCAGGACUCGUAGCUGGUGAUACCCNUUAUCUGACGUCGGUUUUUGCCAGACUUUUUACCGCUGAAAUACCAUUGUCGAGACCUUCGAUUCUCGUUUAGGUCAUUCCGGCCAAAAGUCGCUCGAUCUCCGAUUCGAGUUUUUAGCUGUCUGCUGCUAAGCUGAACUUGGAAAAAUCUUAACUUCAAUAUGUGAAGCCGGAUUUGGGCAUUCUUUUUACGUACGAUCCCGGUUUAAUGAUAUUAAACAUAGUAGGUAGUUAAAUAGAAACUUUUUGGACAUUUUAUUAUCAAAGUUAAUUUCUUUAACUCAAAAGUGGUUACAAUACUUGACUUAUUAGGCCAUUACGAAGAGUUGAAAUAUCGGGUUGUUACAUGUUCCAUCUCAACCUUAAUGGUUUUUGGUUCAAUUUUCGAAAUGAACACAUUAAACAUACAAAACUCUUGAUGUUCAUUUAGCACCUCAUUCUUUGCUCGAAUUUGAGCUCUAGUCAAAACACCUUCUUGUGGAUUUCCAAUGACUUGUUAUUUUGGAUGAUCUCUUUUCCAUUUUUCCAAAGGUAGAUAUGAUGGAUCAAAAUCCAAUGGCGCAUCUUCAAAUAAGUCAUCAUUUUCGGAACCUGCAAUAGAACAUUCGUCAUUAGAAUCAUGAAAAUUUUCAAUAUGACCAGAAUUCAAUUCUAUUGGAUCAUUUUGUUCCCUCUCGAUAUUUACUUCAAUUGGAUGCCCCCUCAACAUGAUGCCCCCCCUCAACAUCCUCAUUCGUACUCCCUUUCUCCCCUUCGAAAGGAUGCUGCCCCUCAACCGGAGUAUUCAAAUCCAAGUGCUCCCCCUCCACUGGAUUAUUUUGCAGACUUUCGCCUAUAACUAGAGAGUUCGAUGUUGAAUGCAUAUCCAAAUCACAUUGAGUGAAUGUCAUAUCAUCACUAUGCUUAGUAGAUUCAGGAAGAUGAUUAUCGGGUGCAUUAAUUUCAGCAUCACCAACAUUAUCUGCAAUACCAAAAAUUAAAUCAUAAUCAACAUACAUCGAAUUUGAAAUAUAAGAUUCACAAUUUGACUCAUUAAGAAUAGGAAGAUUGUCAAAAUGCUUUUCAACUUGUAUAACAUAAUGAUCAUCAAACGUAAGAUUAAACGUUUCUUCCAUUUUUCAUGUUCGUUUGUUCAACACUUGAUAUACAAACGAAUUAUGUGAAUAUCCCAAGAAAAUUCCUUCAUCUGCUUUUGCUUGAAAUUUCAAAAUAUUAUCCUUGAGAUUCAUAAUAAAGCACCUUCAUCCAAAAACAUGAAAGAAUUUGACAUUAGGUUGACGAUUGUUUAUUAUUUCGUAAGGAGUUAUGUUGAAACGACGAUGAAUAGAUGAUAUGUUUUGAGUAAAACAUGUUGUAGAAACGGCUUCUGCCCAAAGAUAUUGAUGAAGAUUCACAUAUGCCAGCAUGGUUUGCACUUCUUCACAAAGUGAACAAUUUUUCCUUUCGACCACACCAUUUUGUCAAGGUGUAUAUGGUGAAGAGAAAUUAUGCGAAAUUCCUUUGUCCACCAAAAACGAAUCAAUAACAUUGUUCUUAAAUUCAGACCCAUGAACUCCUUUGAUUUUUUUGAACAAUCUUCUUUAAACUUGUUUCCAUCUUUUUGAUAAAGUCAAUCAUGAUUUGAGCAACCUCUGUUUUCAACCUAAGAAAAUACACCCAAGUAAAUCUAGAAAAAUCAUCAACAAUUACAAGAAUGUACCGUUUCUUGUUAAGAGUUGCAACUGUCGACGAUUCACACAAGUCAAUAUGAAGUAACUCCAAAGGUUCGAAAUUUUUUGAGUCUAUUGUGAUCGAAUGACCUUGUUUAUGUUGCUUCCCUUGUUCACAAGAUGCACAUAAAGUAUCAUUAUCAAAAUUUAAAAUAGGUAAUCCUCUUACAAGAUCUUGAACAACUAGUUUGUUCAAAUUUCGAAAAUUCAGAUGUGAAAGCCUUCGAUGCCAAAGCCAUCUAAUGUCUAAUGAAGCUUUCGAAAGUAAGCACAUGAAUGGUUUGCCAACAAUAGGAAUGAUAUCCAGAGUAAUCAUGUCUCCUUUUCUUUUGGAUUGAAGCAAGACUUCUUUGGUGUUGACAUUCGAAAUUAUGCUUCCUUCUUCAUUGAAAAGUACUUGAUUACCAGUUCCCACAACAGGUUGCGAUACACUUAUCAAGUUAUGUUGAAGACCUUCGACAUACGCCACUCUUUGUACAGUAAACUUGCCAUUCGUUAUUUUUCCAUAACCUUUUACUUGAUACCUUUGAUUGUUACCAAACUUAACAACUCGAGCAUUCUUUAAACUUCGAUAGGCACCUAAAUUCUCCUUCUUCCCAAUCAUGUGACAAGAGCAACCACUAUCAAUAUAUCAUUUAUCAUCAUAUUGCUCAUCACACAAACCUGCAAAUGAAUUUUGGUACCCAAGGCUGUUUGGGUCCUUGGACAUUAGUGUGAAACAUAGAAUGAAAUGAAGAACCUCUAACCCAAUCAUGAACUUUUGAUUUGAAACUAUCAAUUAAGUCCACAUCAUGAUUUAAAGAAAUCGAAACAUAAGUUUUCAUUGGUUUUGGAUUGUCACUAACACUUGCCUUUGUCUUCUCAGUUUGUUUUUGUAUUUACGUGUCGCGUGAAACAGGUUUCCAAGCUUUCAUCGAAACAUUCGAUUCUUUUGAUGAUGAACUUUCAUUUGACGAAGUAUUCACAUACUUCUCAUAAGCUUCUUGAAUUUGACGUUGAGAAAAUUUUCAUGAUUGAUACAUCUUUCCUUUUCCUUCAAGCCAAUGAUCUAUGUUUUUCUCUAAAGAUAAUCCCUUAGUGUAUGAAACUUUCAAAUUCUGUUUCCCAGAAGGAUUUGGAAAUUUUGGUUUUUGUAGAACGAAAUCAACUUUUGAUUUUGGACGAAAUUGCUCAACAUGUCGACUUUUAACCUUUGUUUCGAAAUUUGUGUUUUGAAAGUUUCUUUUGUAAAAACUUUUUGAAUUAUUUGAGAAAGAAGUGGGUUUGUAGUUUUGAUUUUGAGAAAAUCUUUCUUGUGAAUUAAAAGAAAAUCGAUUUGUGGAACUGUGAUUUUGAAAUUGCUUUGUUGAAAAAUUUGUUUUUGGAUUUGAUUUAGACCUUGAUUUAUUUCUUUGAGCAGGAUUUUUCUGAAUAGUUGAAUAUGAUGAGGACAUCAUUUUAACAAAUUUGUUCUUCAUGUUGUUAGAAAUUUUUGUUGUCAAACCGUUGGAUUUCUUUCGAGACUCAACAGUUUGCCAAAAAAUUUCUUUCGAGCUUGUCUUUUUGAAAUUCCAUUUUCUUUCGAAAAUUUGGCAAUUUGAUCUUUGAAUUCUUGUGAAUUUAAGUUGACAAGUUUUUCAGUUUCCACAACAACUAAUUUUGAGACUUCUUUCACAACUUUUAGUUUUUCAACCCAUUUCCGUUGAGGUUUUCGCCUUUGAAAUGUAUAUGUAUUCUUUGUAAGAUUGCUUUCGAUAGUACUUUGAUUUGAGAGAAUCCUUCAUUUGUUGUUCGUUUAUUUCCUGCUUCAACCAAUAUGUGAAUCUCUGGUUUGAUGUUAUCGACAUUUCCUGUUGUCACAAACACUUGGUUUAGAAAAACAACAUCAUCUGUGCAUUUGAAAUUAGGAUACACCACUGAAUUCGUUUCGAGAUAAUGAGAACCCUUUUUAGUCAUCACUUUGUCGAAUUUUUCUAUAUCACCAUACACUUGUUCAAUUACAAUUCGUGGAAUUUUUGUUUCUUUCGAACCUUUAUUGGAUGAAAUGGGUUUAUGUAAAAGUUCGUCAUCAUUUUCAUCAUCACUACUAUCAGCCUGACUAUCUCUAACAUCCACAUGAUCAAAAUCACAAACUUUCGAAGUUAAGGGUUUGUUAGUGUCAAUCUUAACCAACGAAUCCUCACAAUUUUAUUUUCCUUUAGACUUUGAUGCCAUAUUAACAAUAGACAACUAAGAACAAUCAACAUCCUCAAGAUCACUAAUUUCGCUAAUAUUAUCAGAAUUAUCUUUGAUAUCAGCAAAAUUAGACUGUGAAUCAGAUGUCGAAUUCUCAGUCUUUUUCAAAAUUUUGAUUUGUUUAUUCUUGGUUAAAGUAUCAUUCACAAUAUCAACUAAUUCAUUCGUAUCCAAAUAUUCCCCAAUUUUAACGACUCCAUAAGCAUACUAUCAUCUGGAAUUUUAUCAAACUCUGCUAUUGUUUUCUCACAAUUCUACGAAACAUUAUCAACCUUCUCUUUUUCAUAUGCUAGAAAAGGUAAUAAUUUAUGAUGUUGUUCCUUACUAAUAUAAGAUGAAUGAUAUAAGCAGUAAGUUUAGCAUACAUAUGUUUGGUUGAAUUACUGUAUAUGUUCCUUUGGGCUAAUAAUAUUUUUACAUCACUACUCAGAUUAUCCCUGUCACACAUAAUAUUUGUAAUUUGCAAUUCUAAACAUUCAAAUUUUAUUUUCUUGGCAUCUAACUGCUUCUGUACUUUUAUCAAUUGAGAAGUUGAUUUCUUAGCCUCGUUGCUAGUAGAGAUAACCAAAGUAUCAAAAUAAGCAACUGUAUCAUCGAAAGAAAUUAAUUCAGAAUCAUAUGCACUUAAAGGAAUAUUAAAAGAUUGAAGAAUAGAACGUACCUUGGUGGUCAUUGGUGAUUUAUCAGAACUUUUAGUCAUGAAGCAAUGACAUGUUACCUCUUCGUCAGAUUCAUCCUCAUAUUUCGCAAACAUGGCUCCAUGCGUCGGAUUACGCAUUUCUUCGCCAUCCGAUCCCGAAUACCAUAUCUGAUAAGUUCCUUCAUUCUCAUCAUCGACCUCUCCCUUUGCCACCGGUGACAUUCCUUUUGCCUUUGCCCUCACUUCUUCAAACCUCUCAAUGUAACAGGCUUCGUCCUCCACCUUGUUUUUCUUCUCAUACUUUUUACGAAGUUGACAAUCACUUGCCAUAUGAUUGGCUCUGUGGCAAUAAUGACAGUUAAUUCCUGAAUCACCUUUAAUCUUCUUCUUAACUUUCGUCUCUUCUUUCUCUACUUUCUUUUUCUCACUUUUCUUCUUCUCUUCUCCUCUAGCCUUCGACAUAAAUCUUCCUUUCACAUCAACAUUUUUCGACUUCGAAUUGAACGGUUUCUUGAAAAACUUAUUUACAUUAUUAUUCGAAUAAAAAGCAACAGCCUCAUCAUCCAAAUUAACAAUGAACCCUUCUUCACCAAAAUCCUCUUCUUCAACCUGUUCCUUUUCUGAAACUUUCGAAACUAAAGCUAAUGGUCCACCCAAGCUUAACUUCGAUUCAUCAGCCAUUUCAUUCAUUUCUCCUUCAUGAGUCUUCAACAGAUUAUAUAGAUCAUUCAAUCUUGAUGUGUUGAAAAUUUGUUGAGUCUUAACCAUCAGAGUAACAUUCCUCCAUUCAUUUCGCAGACCCAUGAUGAACGUCAAAAUUGAAUUCCAUGGUUGUCCUUGUAAUGCCAUGACGAUGGCACUUGUAGAUCAACUCAUUUAGUCUAUCAUAGUAACAUUUGGUUGACUCACCAUCCUUUUGCUUAAAAUCUUUCAAUUCAAUCAAACAGUGCUUAACUGAAUUGAUUUUCGUCUUCUCACUUCCUUGAAAAUUUUCUUUGAGAUUAUUCCCGAUUUAUUUUGCAGUUGUACAACUUAUGACAUAGUUAUGCACAACUGGAGGCAAUGCACCAAGUAUCUCCCUCAUACAUCGUUUUUCAAGUUUCUUCAAUCGAUCAGUUUGAACGUCAACACUUGAAGUUUUAGAUGAAGAUCCAAUUGGUUGAACAUUUGUUAGAGGAGUAACAUUCCCAGAGAUACAUGACCAAAGCUCCUCAUCGAGUCCAUUUAAGUAGUCUUGCAUAUGAUCAACCCACUGAUCAUAGUAUUCUGGAAUGAGCAUAGGAAUCUUAGUUGAAGAUCCUAGCAGAUGAGACUAUGAAGUCAUUGAGUAUAAGUUGAAGUUUGCCAUUGAUGCACGGAUGAAAUUUUUUCUGAUAAAUCAAAAAGAAUUUGAAAGCAAAUUGCUGAAUUGAACAGAAAAAUCAAGUAGAACACUCGAUUCAACAAAUCAGUUGUAGAAUUGAGUCACAACUGAAGAUCAAGAACACCUUUCACUUCAAAAGGUGCAUAAACUUUUUGAACCAGAAUUUGAUUCAAAAACCUUUUGAAUCAGAGUGAAAAUCAGAUCGCAGAUUAUGAUUCCUGCUCUGAUACCAAUUGAUGAUGUGAUGAAUCAAGAAAAUAUCAAAUUAAUUGAGUAAAUGAACACAAAAAGUAAAUAGAACCUGAUUUCAACUCAUAUUAUGCUUUCAAUGUUUUACAAAGAGAAAGUAGACAAGAAGAAUUCAGAUUCAUAUCUAACUCUAAGUAAAGUCCCUAUUUAUAGGAGACGUGAAAGCAUACAAAAAAUUACAAGGACUAAGACACUAAGCUUCGAUAUAAAAUGCCUUGUAAAAUAAUAUAACUGACUUCGACAUAUUACAGCAAAACUUCGAACCUUACAGGUCGAGGAAGUGAAAUAUGAUUUGCACUUCCACGAUCCAAUCGUAGAACAUCAUCUUCGGAAUGAAAUCUUGUUCUAGAAGGUUUGGGAAGACCAUAGUUGUCUGAGGCAGACAUCUACAAUGGAGAAAUUCAAGUUAGUUGUAUUAAGUCCUUAAUAUAACACCCAAAUGAAAUAUUAAGGCUAGAACCCAACAUAAUAAUUUACAAUUCGGAAGAGGGACGCCGUAAUCCGAUUGUAAACUAUUUGAAGGUAGGUAAAUGAAGAUUUACUAAUUUCCACUACGAAAAACGAAAAAGAAUUGUUAGGUUUUAAUUGAAUUGAAAUUCCUAGAUCUUUAGAGAUUCAUUGAAAUUUUCAAUAGCAUGUUUAAAUCUCGAUUGUUCCCUUCAAGUUUGUGACUGAGAUGCCGAGGAUCACAAACAAGGUGUGAAUAACCAUGCAAAUUGGCUUGGUACACUCAAUGUUACAACCACCUAAUCAAUGUGUCGGUUAACCACACACGCUCUAUUAACCUAUGAUUAACAUCAAGCUACCCUUUUUCAUGCACUGUCUGUCCCAUAUUAGUGUGUCGGUUAACCACACGUGCUCUAUUAAUGACUUAACAAGGUGAAAAGUGUAAUUUCAUGGGUUAGCACCAAAUUCACAUUAUUCUUAAAGUAAAUGUAAGGUCCUUAAACGGAUCGUACCAGUGAUCAACCAACAAACACAAUCGAUAAUAAUAAAGAACAAGUAGAAAAAAUGAUGUAAACAAGUUUGCACACGCUUCUAUUAGUGAAAACGUCUGGUACAACUUUUGGAAUAGCAGCCGAAACUCUAAGGCAUCAACAACAACUAAAUGACCUAGCACACCUCUAUAUAUAUUGGACCUGGGCUGGCCUUGGGUUUACGGCCGUAAACAGGCUUACGACCGUAACCUCAUAGCUGGCCGUAAACUAUACAAAAGCUACCAAAACUUUCAUAUUGACUCAAAAGAACCUAUUACAAAUGAAAUCCUAGACGAAACCAUUAACUGGACCCUUCAAUCUCCCCCUUGGUUUGGUGCUAGCUUGGAAUUAAUCUUUGUUCACAAUCAUCACAUCAUCUAGCCCCAUAGCUCCAUUCCAUAUUCACUUGUUUAUAAUCUCAGCAACCAUAGAGGUGUAUUCUUUCGCGGCUGACUCAAAUAUCUCCUUAGCAACUCUGAUCUAAUGAAGACUUAGAUGAUGAAUGUCCCAUCUUCUAAAAUGGAGCAAAUCCCUUCUAUCAUACAAAUGAAUGCAUCCCUCCUUUAGUUUGAUGACAACAGAUGCUGUGGUUUCAUCAAAUACCCAGUAGAGCAUAGAACAUAAGGAUCCAUCCAAGUAACUUUGAAGCACGAGAAUCUGUUUGACCUGAUUUGUAGUAGGCCACAUCACCACUUGGAGUGGAUUACCAGUUUUGGGAUCAAUGACAUCAAGAUAAUGCUUUAUCACAGAUUCAACAGUCUUCAUAGAUGGGAAACCCUUCUUCACUUGAUCUUCCAGAAAGUGUUUGAAAUUAGUUGCUUGUUGAUUUUCCGUCGGGUUUGAAAAAGGAGAUUGAGACAACUCUGAAAGAUCCACCCUGGUCCAAGAAUUAAAAUCAUGACAAUCUUUAUAGAGCUCCGUAUUGCCGCACUUUCUCCAUACAAUACACAUAUUUAGGGGAUCGUGAAAACCCCAAGAUACGAUUCCUGACCAAUCACCAUACAUGUCUUUAAACCUUACGGCUUCGAGAUCCGUAACAGUGAUAGUGGAUUGAUUUCCUGGUGCAUUUUUGUCGGAACUCCUCUUGAACAAGAGUUGUCCCUUCUCGGCGGCUUUGGCUUGUCUGUCUCGAAUAAUAUCUGCAACAUGUGGAGCAUGAGCAGGCUCUUUUUCAAAAUGGUUCACUACUCGAGAAGUCUGAGCAGUUUGCACAGCAAUAGGAUGAGCCUGAGAAUGAAGAUCAAUUCUAUGCUGAUCUGUAGAUGUCUUAUACUUAUCACCAAAGUCUUCUUCAAGGUUCUUCUUGCAAUCAAAAUAGCUGGAGGUCAGAAGAUUGAAAUGAUCUUGGAGCUUAGAGAUUUGCUUGGUCUUUGUUGCCCUAUCUUCUUAGAGAUCAGAAACUUGAAUUUUCAAAUUUGUAUUCUCACUCAAAAGAUCUUCAACACGAAUGCUGAGCUCAAUGUUUUUCUGAUCCAGCACAUUCACUCUCUUAUGAAGUUCAUCAAUCACAGAAUCAUCUUCUCUUGACUGACGUUCACUAAAAGCAAUUCCUUUGCCCUUAGAAGAAGGUGCAACAGCUUGUUCUUGAGCAAGAUGCAAAGCCAAACGCAUAGAGACCGCAUCGAGAUCUGUCCUUGGAGGAGAGAAUACUGGUGGAACAGAGGAGCCACCGGCUUCAAAAAAUGUGCUAGGGCCUUCACACAAAGGUUUUGUAGUAACAAUAGCAGGACUGGUAGUUGGAGUAAAUGGAAAGCCUUAAGAAAAGCUAGAAUGCAGAGGCCCGAACCUAGGAUCUCGUUGUCUUCUUUUGGAUGGAGGCUGCGAAGUCUGGUCUGUUGAGUUAUCAACCUGAAGUGGUUCAGAUGUAGGUGAGACAACGUCAAGGGGAGGAAUCCGUGACACUGUCACCACUGGAAUUGAAGAAACAACCACUUGUUCUGUAGUGAUUGUGUUGAUUCGAGAACAUCUUCUGUAUCCCUACUCUCCGUUGCCGUGUGAGCAACAUCACUGAAAUUAUCUAGCAGCGAGUUGAGGUUGACAUUUGAUAGAAAAUCAUCAUUAGUUCCAAAAUUAGUUGGAAUCUCAUCUCUAUCGAAACAUGUGAGAUCAAGGUCUUCAUAUUGAUUUGGCUCUGCAGUAUUCUUGGAAGACCCUUCAUUGUAAUCUCCUUCAACGUGGACGUUUUGUAGGUCAUGCUGCUCGGCUACUGACACAGCAGGAGCAACAGUCUCUUCUCCUUCUUGAUCUGACAUGGUGAUCACAUCUCCUUCUGAGAUCACCUUUUCUGACGAAGUGGACUCCGAUGAUAUCUUUGAUGGGUUUUGUACAAACAAUCCUAUGUGUGCAUGCAACCCUAGAUUUGGAUCUAUGUUUUCUCUAUUAGAUACACAACUUUAUGAACACAAUAAGAACCCUAGCUAGCAGGUAUAUAUUUCGAAAUUUAUAUAGAAGAGUAGAUCACAUACCUCUUGUUGUUAUAUUGCAAUAAAAACACUAAUCUUCAAUCUCUUAGUCUUGAAAGCAAGUACCGCAAGUGUUGUACCUCUAAUGGCUCACAAACACCACAAGUAAUUGGAGAGGCAAGAGAGAGAGAGGAGAGAGGUUAGAAAUUGGCUCUAGGAACCCUAGGGAAUCAAUGUCCGAUUUCCUUAGGCUUAGGGAUCUUUAUAUAGGGUAGAGAUAAGGGUGUCAGUCCUUAUCCUUAUCUAGUUGCUUGCCCACCAAGUAACCAAAAGAUAAGCCUUGAACGCCCUUAUCUUUGGACGAUUUCAAGGGCCUUAUCCCCCUUGAAUUCGUCCACCUCUCCCAUAGGGCAUCCAUAGCCCUAAUUUGCAACUAUCACAUAAUUACAAUUCAGUCCCUACAGUUUAAUUAAUUACAUUUGAUCACAAAAUUAAUUCUUAAUUAAUUAUUGACCAAUACUAAUUAAACAAAUAUGAUUUCUCCUAUUAAUAUAUUAUUCCUAUAAUAUAUUAAUAAAUCAUAAUAACCUCUUUCUCUAUUAUUUCUCUAGUUAAGUUGCUUUGGUGAAGGCAACCCAAAAGGACCAUGCACAACUGCGUCAAGUGCUUACCAAAUAUGGUUACGGGCUUAGACACUAAUCCAUCAGUCUCCCACUUGGAUAAGUCUAGUAACCACAAAUGUAAGUAAAACUCGAUUAGCAAUCGUAGCUCUCAAAGAUGCUGUUGAACUCUGCUCUUAUCCGUAACAUGUCCUUUAGAUAAGGGAUCGUAUAGUCCUCUGUUUUAGAUAUCGUGCAGACAAUCUCAUGGAACAUAGUCAUACUCAUUGUCUAGCAGCUAGUUUCUCGAUCUCAGAUUCAUUUGACAUAGAACUUAAUUGAACACAUCAAUUCAGUCCUGACCGGGCCUGACACAUAAGUCAAAUCAAAAUCAUCGAGGGGCCUUGAUAUCGAUUUUAUCCUCUAAGGAUAAAACAAUCAGAUAAACUUCGACUUAUAUGCAUUUACUACUCACUAAUCAAUUAUACACAACAAUGCGUUUUAUGAAAUCAAUUUACUGAUGCGGUUUCACAUUAUCAAUGUACAAUCAAUUAGAAAACAAUAAACCAUAUAUCUUGGUUUUAAGACCAUAUGAUAUUAUCAUCCUGCGAUCACUCGUGAUAGAUUCCAUGAAGUGAUUCCAGCAAGUGCGGGUUUAUUCCAAUGCUCAAAACUUAUUUAUAAGCACUCAUGAAUGUUGUAACAAACCUUUGUUAUGUCUAAUACCAUUCAGACAAUCUACACACCAAUUCAUGACAGUCUUCAUUCAAACCUACUUCCAACAUAUGAACGACUGUGGAUCGUUUGAAUAAUUCGAUUAUUCUUAAUUAACUCAAUUAUUCAGGAAGUCAAAACAUGCAAAACAAAAUAAUAUUCAACCAAUUAACAUAAGACAGUAGCUAUACUAAUAAAUAACACUCCUUUAUUUAAUCACCAAAUGUCAAUUACAAUUGUCUAUUACUCAAUUCUAAACUAUCUAAUCCAAACUAACAUCGUGCUUCAGCCCAAUACUCCUAGCGUGCUGCAAAUGCUUAACCCUACUCAGUCCCUUCGUAAGCGGAUCUGCUGGGUUCUCCUCUGAUGAUAUCCUCUUGACUACGAGGAUUCCUUCUUCUACCCGAUGUCUAAUAAAGUGAUAUUUUCUGUCGAUAUGUCGAAAUCUACCAUGAUCCCUCGGUUCCUUGGUCAAGGCAACCGCUCCUUCAUUAUCACAGAAAAUUUCCAUAGGCUCUGUUAUGGCAGGUACAACUCCAAGGUCUCUAAUGAAGUUCUUCAGCCAUAUUGCCUCCUUUGAUGCUUCACUCGCUGCAAUGUACUCUNAUCAGCUAUAGUUUCCUGCUUGGAACUUUUCCAAGUCACUGCUCCUCCAUUUAGGGUAAAGACCCAGCUCGACUGCGAACGGUAGUUGUCCCUGUCGGUCUGGAAAUUGGCGUCACUAUACUCUCGCACCUUUAAGUCAUCACUCCCUCCAAGAACCAGAAACCAUUCAUUGGUCCUCCGAAGGUACUUAAGGAUAUUCUUAACUGCGGUCCAAUGUGCUCUACCAGGGUUCCCUUGAUAUCUACUAACCAUGCUCAAGGAGAAGGCCACAUCAGGGCGAGUACAAGUCAUAUCAUACAUGAUUGAGCCAACUGCGGAAGCGUAAGGUACUCGACUCAUCUAUGCUAUCUCGGCUUAGGUACUCGGACUUUGAGUCUUACUCAACUUGGCAUUACUUUGGAUCGAUAAUUCUCCCUUCUUCGAGUUCUCCAUACUAAAACGUUUUAGUACCUUGUCCAAGUAAGUAUUCUGACGAAGUCCUACUAGUCUCUUACUUCGGUCUCUCACUAUCCUUAUUCCCAAAAUAUAGGAAGCCUCUCCGAGGUCCUUCAUAUCAAAACACUUCCCGAGCCAAGACUUAACUUUCUGUCGUGUCGGGAUGUCGUUUCCUAUGAGUAGUAUGUCAUCGACAUAUAACACGAGAAAACUAACUAUACUCCCACUGGCUUUGACAUAUACACAUGAUUCAUCUUUACUUCGUACAAAUCCAAACUCUUUGACUUUCUCAUCAAAGCAAAGAUUCCAUCUGCGAGAUGCUUGUUUAGGUCCAUAAAUGGACUUCUCAAGCUUGCACACUCUAUUGGGAUGCUUCGCAUCGACAAAACCCUCUGGCUGAGCCAUGUACACAUCCUCAGCCAACUUCCCAUUAAGGAAAUUGGUUUUGACAUCCAUUUGCCAUAUUUCAUAAUUAUGAAAUGCAGCAAUGGCUAGCAUCACCCUAAUAGACUUAAUUUUAGCAACUGGUGAGAAGGUCUCAUCAUAGUCAACUCCGGGAGUUUGAGUAAAGCCCUUUGCAACCAGUCGCACCUUAUACGUGUGAACAUUCCCAUCCAUGUCCGUCUUCUUCUUAAAGAUCCACUUGCACCCAACCAUCUUACGUCCGGACACAUUGUCAACCAAAUUCCAAACUUGGUUGUCAUACAUGGACUAAAUCUCGCUGUCCAUCGCCUCUUUCCAUUUUGUAGACUUCGGGCCUGCCAUGGCUUCCUUAUAGAUGUUAGGUUCAUCUAGAUUUAUUAGUGUACCAUCACUAAUAUACGUGUCCCCUUCGGUAGUAAUAUGAAAACCAUACAACUGGGGUUGAACUCUAACUCUUUCGGAACGUCUAAGAGGUAAGGAUUGGUCAAUCGGUUCAACCAGAGUUUCCUCCUCGGGUUGAGCGCCAGCGUUAGAGGUUCCUUCAUCGAUCGAAUCUUGAAUCUCUUCAAGAUCGAUUUUCCUCCCACUGUCUCCUUGGUUUAUGAGUUCUCGCUCUCGGAAAACCCCUCUCCUCGUAAUGAAGAAAAAAUUGUCACUCGGUCUAUAGAAGAGAUACCCAAAGGAUUUCUGCGGGUAGCCGACGAAAAUACAUCGCUUACUACGAGGUUCGAGCUUGUCGUGAGUCUCUCGUCUUACGAAAGCCUCGCAACCCCAAACCUUGAUAUGUGCCAACGAGGGAGCUUUCCCUGUCCNCCUCCCACUCUCCUCUUGGCAUAUGAGUUCUCUCUCUCUCUCUCUCUCUUUCUCUCUCUCUCUCGGAAAACUCCUCUCCUCCCAAUGAAGACAGCAUUGUCACUCGGUCUAUAGAAGAGAUACCCAAAGGAUUUCUGCGGGUAGCCGAUGAAAAUACAUCGCUUACUACGAGGUUCGAGCUUGUCGUGAGUCUCUCGUCUUACGAAAGCCUCGCAACCCCAAACCGUGAUAUGUGCCAACGAGGGAGCUUUCCCUGUCCACAUCUCGUGAGGUGUUUUGGUAACCUUCUUUGUAGGGACUAAGUUAAGGAUAUGGGCGGCAAUCUCUAAUGCAUACCCCCAGAAUGAGAUAGGUAGUGAAGCACGAAUCAUCAUGGAACGAACCAUGUCUAACAAGGUUCGAUUAUGCCUCUCAGCCACACCAUUCAACUGCGGUGUCCUUGGCGGCAUCAAUUGCGAAACUAUUCCGCAUUCCUUGAGAUAGUCGUGGAACUCAAGACUUAGGUACUCUCCUUCUCGAUCGGAUCGAAGCAUCUUGAUUUUCCUGCCCAAUUGAUUCUCCACUUCUUGUUUAAACUCUUUGAACUUUUCAAAGGUUUCCGACUUGUGUUUGAUUAAGUAAAUAUACCCAUAUCUACUAUAAUCAUCGGUAAAAGUCAAAUAGAAGCGGUUCGCGUCCCUUGUGGUGGAUCUAAAGGGUCCACAUACAUCCGUAUGUAUGAGAUCCAAUAAACCCUCACCCCUUUCACAAGUGCCAGUGAAGGGUGACUUGGUCAUCUUUCCAAGUAAACAAGACUCGCACACGUCAUCGUCCCUAAGGUCGAAUGACUCCAACACUCCAUCCUUUUGGAGUUGGGCUAUGCGUUUCUUGUUGAAAUGUCCAACACAACAAUACCACAAGCAUGCUUUAUCCAAACCAUUGGAAGAAUCGACACACAACACAUCAUUUCCUAAGUUAUCUACAACCAUAACAGUUUCAUAAAUUCCAUUACAAGGCAAUGCUUCAAAAUACAAGACACCAUUUAGAUAAGCAUAAACUGAACCUUUCUCAUUAUCAAACGAAUAUCUAAAUCCUUGUCUAAGCAAACCAUGAAAUGAAAUGAUGCUUCUUGCCAUAUCUGGCGAAUAGCAACAAUUAUCUAAAUCUAAACCUAAUCCAUUACUAAGCGCUAAAGAAUACACUCCAAUCUUGGUGACAGGCGACGAUCUUCUAUUUCCCAUGAUUAGAUUUAUUCUUCCACGCUCCACAUCUCUAUUUCUUCUUACUCCCUGCAAAUCAGACCAUAUGUGAAAACCACAUCCUGUAUCAAGAACCCAAGAAAUAGUACGUGAUGAAUCAUUAGAUUUAAUUGUGUAAAUACAGGCGAAAGACGGCUUGAUCUUCCCAUCCUUGAUGGCUUACAGAUAUUCUGGGCAGCUUCUCUUCCAGUGUCCUAUUUUGUGGCAGUGGUGACAUUCUGCCUCCUUAGGGUUUGAGUUGGGCUUAGCGGGGCCGACUUUUGUUCCACUAGUAGAGGAACCAUCUUGGGACUUUCCAUUGUGGUGGCUCUUUGAAAGAGCCUUCCUCUUUUUUCCCUUCCCUUGCCUAAUGGCCAAAACAGGAGCAGCGGGUGGAGUGUGAGUUGGUGCAACAGAUUUGUCCUUAAGGUUGCUCUCAGCAAUCCUUAGGAGUCCUUGGAGUUUUCUUAGGGUGACUUCUUCUUUGUUCAUGUGGUAGGUCAUCCUAAAUUGGUUGUAGCACGAGGGCAAGGAGUGGAGAAUUAUGUCGAUGGCCAAGUCUUCCCCAAAGUUAACAUUUAACUUGCGAAGAUGAUCAACAUACCUUUGCAUCUUUUGCAAAUGCGAGGUUAGGGAUUCUCCACUUCCGAUCUUAGCGGUGAUCAUGUUAGUGAUGAUCUCGUAGCGCUCUUGCCUUACGCUUUGGUGGUAACUCUCCAGCAAAUCUUGGUGCAUUUCAUAGGGAUACAUGUCCUCAUAGGACUUUUGUAGUUCAAGAUUCAUAGUGGCCAACAUAAUGCAAUGGACUUUCGUUGCAUCACGCUCAUGGGUCUUAAAGACGACCAUUUCUUCGGGAGUGGCGAUUUCCGGAUUGAUCUUUUCAAGCUUCUCAUCGAGGACAUAUUCUUUGUCCUCGUAGCGGGAAAUCAUGCGAAUGUAUCUUAUCCAUUCGUUGAAAUUCGAUCCGUCGAAUGUCACCUUUUGACAUAGGCUCAUUAGCGAGAAUGAGCCAGCGACAGCAUUGUUUGCGUUUGCGUUAGACAUAUGCAAAUAGAAAGGAAUAAAGUUUGAUUAGAAUUGAAUCCCUAAUUAAACACCAAAAUGAGAAAUUAGGGCUAGGAUCCAACAACAUUAUUUACACAUUAGAAAAGGGAUGCCGUAAUCCAACAUGCAAAUAAUUUGGAGGUAAGUGAAUGAAGAUUCACUAAUUCUUCACCAUGAAAAACAUAAGGCUUAGGUUUUAAAUGUAUUGAGAAUUCCUAGAUUUCUUGAGAUUCAUUGAACUUUUCAAUGGCAUGUUUAAAUCUCGAUAUGCCCCUCUUGUUUGUGACUGGGAUGCCGAGGAUCACAAAGCGGGUGUGAAUAACCAUGCUAAUAUACAUGGUGCCCUCAUUGUUACAGUCACCUAUUCGAUGUGCCGGUUAAGAACACACGCUCCAUCAAACUAUGGUAAACAAUGAGUCACCCUUUGCCACCUUUGCUUAGAACCAAUUAGUGUGCCGGUUAACCACACACGCUCCACUAACUUCUUAGCAAGGGUGCAAAGUGUAAUUUCAUGGGAUUGCAUCAAUUCACUUUUGCCUAAAGUAACUAGGAUUGAGAAUUUUGUAAAAACAUUCAGUUACUUUAUAUAGUUUCUUUAUACUUAUUAAUGAAGAAAGGCUUGCCCUAUCCUACCCAUUCGGCUAACGACCCUCCACCAAUCAAGGAAGCGGUGGGUAAGAGUGGAUACCCAUUAACCGACCAUUUUAUAGGCCAUAACCUUAUACCCCCCGUAUAGAUCGGCUUCGUGAAUGAGGCCUACUAACGGUAAGACUAACAUUUUAGUUAUAUAUAUANNNNNNNNNNNNNNNNNNNNNNNNNNNNNNNNNNNNNNNNNNNNNNNNNNNNNNNNNNNNNNUAUAUAUAUAUAUAUAUAUAUAAAUCUUGUAAUAAUAUAAUAGAAUAUGGUGUAUUUUAAACAUUUUAAAAAUACUAGGGUUUUAAUCUCAAUUUGAAAUUUUCAAAAUUUAUCACUUUUAAAUUAAAAUUUUAAAUAUUAAAACUCUUGAUUUAAUAAUUAUCUAAAUUAAACAAUUAAUUCUAAUUACUAAAUCAUAAAGGAUUAUGAUAAAUUAAACAAUUAAAUUUAUCCUAAUCCCUUAUAUCCCUCUAAAUUUCGAAAUUUGGGAGGGGAUAAUUCAAAAAUCCUUAAUUACCAUAUUUAACAAUUAAAAGAUAAUUACAAGAUAUGGGAUUAUCCAAAUCCCUAGAUUUUAGGGACUUAUCUUGGGGAGGAGGCAUGAUCUCGAAAAUCUAGGGUUUGCAAACCCUAGAUCUCGAAAUCUUGGGCAACAAUCAAAAUUUUGAGCACAAGGGUUCAAGAAAUCCUAAAAUCGAAAUCCAAGCCUCCUAGGGUUUAUUGGCCAUAAACCCUAAAGUGUCAAAUUCAUACAAUUGUAUAAUACUAAAUUGAAAACAAUUCAAUCAAAGGCUUUGAUACCAUUGAUGGGUUUUGUACAAACAAUCCUAUGUGUGCAUGAAACCCUAGAUUUGGAUCUAUGUUUCUCUAUUAGAUACACAACUUUAUGAACACAAUAAGAACCCUAGCUAGCAGGUAUAUAUUUCGAAAUUUAUAUAGAAGGGUAGAUCACAUACCUCUUGUUGUUAUAUUGCAAUAACACCACUAAUCUUCAAUCUCUUAGUCUUGAAAGCAAGUACCACAAGUGUAGUACCUCUAAUGGCUCACAAACAUCACAAGCAAUUGGAGAGGCAAGAGAGAGAGAGAGAGAGAGAGAGAGAGGAGAGAGGUUAGAAAUCAGCUCUAGAAACCCUAGGGAAUCAAUGUCCGAUUUCCUUAGGCUUAGGGAUCUUUAUAUAGGGUAGAGAUUAGGGUUUCAGUCCUUAUCCUUAUCUAGUUGCUUGCCCACCAAGUAACCAAAAGAUAAGCCUUGAACGCCCUUAUAUUUGGAAGAUUUCAAGGGCUUUAUCCCCCUUGAAUUCGUCCACCUCUCCCAUAGGGCAUCCAUUGCCCUAAUUUGCAACUAUCACAUAAUUACAAUUCAGUCCCUGCAGUUUAAUUAAUUACAUUUGAUCAUAAAAUUAAUUCUUAAUUAACUAUUGACCAGUAUUAAUUAAACAAAUAUGAUUUCUCCUAUUAAUAUAUUAUUCCUAUAAUAUAUUAAUAAAUCAUAAUAACCUCUUUCUCUAUUAUUUCUCCAGUUAAGUUGCUUUGGUGAAGGCAACCCAAAAGGACUAUGCACAACCAGGUCAAGUGCUUACCAAAUAUGGUUACGGGCUUAGACACUAAUCCAACAAUCUUAUCUGAAGAUCCGUGUGACUCAGUUGCCUCAUUCGGCUCAUCAAAUCAUCCAAAUGUGACCAAUGGGAAAAGUCCUUGAAAAGUGACCUUUCCAUUACGAUUCUGUUUAAUUAGCCCAAUGGUGUGUGGGCCCAAGGACUUCAUGUCGAGCGUAUCACCCUCCUUAACCAUGUUUGGGAAAUGUUUGUUUAUGAAGAGUUGAAUGAAACUGGGAUACAUCAAGAAGGUAUCCAUAGUAGUGGCAUUGAUGUUUACCACAAAUUCAUCCAGUAUAAACCUUGAGAAAUUGAAACCGAUUCUCGUAGCGAGAGAAACUAUAGCACUGGUGUUUCUCAGUGAGAUUUCAUUUGCACUAGAUCUCCUACCGGAGAUACAGCUCACAAACACAUGAGCUAAAAAUCUCCAGUAGGGCGGUAGAAGCUUCUUCAUCGUAGGUGGGGAGACACCCUCAUACCCUAUCUUCCUUAGAUCUUCUGAACGUCUUCAAUGCCGAUCUCGGCAGAAAAGCUUGGAAGGUCAUUGAUCAGCAAUGUUUCUAUGAUGAACUGCUCGUUGAUUAUAAUUUUGCAUCCUUGAACAACAACAUCCACAGUCACGGCACCAUCGUCAUCUCUCGUCAUCUUGGUAGUUUGCCAGAACUCGCGUAUGAUUUCUGAUAAACAGUAGUGUUCAUAGUAAUGGCAUAGGCCAGACAACAUUCUCAUAAUCCAUGAAUCAUUGAUUUGAAGUCCACAUGAGCCACUGGAGGAUCAACAAGAACCAUCGCCAGGUUGUGCAUAUCUGCAAAUUUUAAUGCCGCCAUUUUAUCUACACUAAAACAUACCAAGUAAGACAAGAGAGAAAAUUGAGCAAUUAAUAUUUUAAAUGAUUUAAUUUUUGAGCCCAAAAAUGAAUUAAUAAUUUUUCAAAUUAAAUUUUAGGUCAAAGAAGAUUUUGCGGUCAACGGGGGUUUACGGUUGUAAACCCGUGACAGUAAGCUUAUGCCGCAAGCUUGGGCCGUAAGCUUGGGCGUAAACUUCAUCAAUCCGUUUUUCGUCGAUUUCAAGCUCAAAAAUCAUCAAAUCACUGAAACAAGCCCAUAUUCCUGGUCGAAAAUGUGAUACCUGUAAAGCUAUUGAAGUAAUUUCACAAAAAUCGAGAAAUUUUUUUUCAAGGAGAAAGAGAGAGGGGGAGAGUUUGCGGCCAGAAUCAGAGAAAUGAGGAGGAUCCCGACUAUAAACUCCUUAAAUACCUUGAAUCUUUUUACCUGCUGACCACACAGUGUAAGGCACAGUCCAAUACAAUCCAAUAUUCUUCAAAAAUUUCAAAAACAAAACUUUUUGAGGAUUAAAAUUAAAACUAAAAUUAAAAUUAAAAAUAAAAUAAAAUAAAAUAAAAUUAAUCUGCAAAAUUUAAAAUUAAAAAUAACCGUUAAAUUUUAACACUUAAUUAAAUAAAAAAAAUAAAAUUGAAAACUAAAAAUAAAAUAAAAAUAAAAAUAAAAUCAAAUAAACUAUACAACUUAAAAAUUUAAUUACUAAGAAUAAAUUUGUGACACUGGGAUCAAAGUUGUUGGACCGUCCUAUUCUACUUGUCGGUACCCAUAUUUUUCACGUCUUUGUCUGAAAGAUCACCGGUAUUGUGGUCCACUUAAGCACGAAACAUUUGUUACAGAGUUUGGACAAUUUACCAAUGACAUGACACACACACACACACACACACACACACACAUAUAUAUAUAUAUAUAUAUAUAUACUUAUUAGCCCAUAUUCUUAAAUAAAUUUUCCCUGUGAUCAUUUAACUGACUACAACCAGGGAUAUUGUUGUCCACCUAAAUUGAGCGGCGAGAUCUACAGAAAAUCUGUAUGUGUUCAUUUUUAAUUGUACUAGAACGUGUUUCCCGCUUCCUGAUAUGCCCCAGCCAUCAAGGACUUCCAAUAUACUCCUUACACCGGGUGAGCAGAUAAUUAUUAAGAGAGAAGAUAAAUUUAGAGUGCAUAUGUUGUACAUCCAGGUCGGAUCUCUUCCAAUCACGCAAAGGAUGAAACAUACGACUAACUAAAGUUUUAGAGGGAUUGAGAAGAGAACGUUGCAUAUACUAUGUACCAGGCCGGAUUAUGAGUCACGCAAAGGAGACAAUAUAUGGCUAACAGAUAGAAAGAAUUGUUGGGUUUUGAGCAUUCUAACACUCCUAAGUGUACAUGAAACCCUAAAUACCUUGGAUCUAUGUUUUCUCUAUUAUACAUACAAAUAAGAACAUCCUAGGUAUUAUCCUAAUCUAGCAUACAAAACAAUGACUAUAGCAAGAUAGAAUACAUACCUCUUUGGUGUAGAAAGUCUUCAUGAAGCUUGAGUGCCUAGCCCUAAUAGUGUGGAAGCCUCAAAUGGAAUCACAAUCACCAAAACACUUAGAAUAACUUGAGAGAAUUCUACAACUCAUGAAAUCGGCUAGCCCUUUCACUUCACACACUAGUGGCCGAUUUUGGUCAAGAAUAAGAUGCUUAUAUAGUUAGGGUUACACCAUGUAAACCCUAAUUGACAUGGCCUUUCAUUUCCAUGAUCCAUGGGUACAAAUACACCAUGGAGCAUCCAUGGACCAUCCUAUGGGUUUUAGCCCAACUUGAUUAUCCAUGGAGCAUUAGCCCACUAUACAAGUAUGGAUGAUUUACACAAUCAACCCAUAUAUUUAAUUAGUCUUCUUUUGAUCACUUAAUUAAUCCUAGAUUAAUUCUUGAUCAAUACUAAUUAAAUAAUCUUAUUAUUCUUAUUAUUAAUAUACUAGAACUUAUAAUAUAUUAAUAACCAUAAGUGUCUUAUUUCUCUCAUUAUAGUCUAUCCAAGUGCAUGAUGGUAUGCAACCCAAAUGGACCAUGCCGGGUCGGGUCAAGUCUUACCAAUUAUAGUUAUGGACUUAGACAUUAAUCCAACAGUCUCCCACUUGGAUAAGUCUAAAACUAUUAUUGCGUAUGACUUCAGGAACCAACUGGCAAUCGUAGCUCUCAAAAGCUUCUGUCGAACUCUGACCUUGUAGAUGAACUCUGACCUUUGUCAAUGACUUGUCCAUUAGAUAAGGGAUCAUAUAUUCCUCCAUUCUAGAUAUCAUAUGGACUGAGACAUGGAUUAUAAUCAUUCUCUCUGUCCAUUUGUUGUUUCCCGAUUUCCGAUUUAUGACGACUGACUAAUUGAACAAAUCAAAUCAGUCCUGGCCCGGCCGAGCACUUCCAUUUGUCAUCAUCAAAUCAUCGAGGGGCCCACAGAUAUCGCUUUUAUCCCGAAGGUAAAAGGAAUGGAUAAACUUCGACUCAUAUGGCUUGUUCUACUACUUGUUGAAUCAUACACAAAGGCACGUUUUAUAGCACCGAGUUACCAAAUGCGUUUUCGUGCAAUCAAUGUACUAUCAACUCAUAGUAACAACUCAUAUCUCUAGGUUUGAAGAAUAUAAGAUAUUAUCGUCUCAUGAUCACUCGUGAUAAAAUCCAUGAAGUGAUUCCAAUGAGCGCGGGUUGAAUCCAAUACUCAGAACUUAUGAGCACUCAUGAGUGUUGUAGCCCUUUGUCCAACACCUUAGACCUCUACAAGCCAACCCAUGACAGUCUUAAUUCAUAUCUACUUCCAACAUAUGACCGACUGUGGAUGGUUUGAAUAACUUAGUCAUUCCGGAAGAAUAACCCAGUUUAUUCGGGAAGUCAAAACAUGCAAAAUGAAACACAAUAAUAAUUGAAUCCAAUAUGGUAUCAACCCUUUGAACAUAAAUAAAACACCUUUUAUUUAUCACCAUAUGAUUACACAUUAUUCAUUGUAUACUGUUUCAGCUAUCAACUUUAUUCUUGAAUUUAAAACAAUAGUUGUCCCAUGCUCCAAGCAUGUACACUAUGUUUUCUUAAACACUAGUCAUGCCACACACCAAGUAUGCAUACUAUGUUUGUCUAUGAUCUUUACUUUGUGAACUAGAUCAAUUGAACAUAACUUCAAUGAUUCUCUUUUCACACUCCCAAAUCCUUACUGCAAAUGCAAGAAUUCCAAAUUCAUGCCAUUUACUGAAAUCUGUUAGAUUCUAAACUUAUAUGCAUUGAUCCUCUUGUAAUGAUUAUGCACAAAGUCACAAAGACUUGGCAACAAUCAUUACAGAGUAUUCCAAAGGAGAUCAACUCCUUGGAAAUAUCCUUCUUGCAUUAAGUUUCCUUAAUCUUACACAGAUUGAAAAUUCUAACUUUGAAACAUUUCCAGAUUCCAUUUUGACUAUCACUUCUGAACAAGAGUUGCCUCCUUACAGAUUAUGUCAAUAUGGUCCUUCCAGAAUUAUCACUAUACUUCCAAUUGUCCUUGAGUAACCAAUCUUUGGUAAACCUUAGAUUGUCCUCGACAAUUGUUUAAUCCUUUUAGUCAUAUCCAGUUCUAAACCUUUUCCCUUCUUAAUGCCCCAGGCAUUUGGAAAAUUUUAGAACGGAUGAAUAUAGCACAUGUAAUCGAUCCUAUAUCCGAAGCAUAUGGGACACGAUUCAUGAUGUCUUACAUAAAGACUAAACCAGUCUUUUGCUAUAAUAUUUCCAUUUCAAUUUGCCAAGUUCUCAUAAUUCAGAUUAUGAAAAGGGAUGCCGUAAUCAUAAUCGAAUUUUAGAACGCAAAUAAUGGACCCAUAUACAGAAUUUCCUUAUGUUGAGCCAUUCCAACAUGAAAUUCAUAUAUAUCCUUGACUAAAUGAUUAAAACCUCACGAUCUAAGCUUAUAGAUUUGAGAUGAAGCAUAAUUUCCUCUCCCUUAAUUAUAGCAAAACAACUUUUUCCCAAUUGAAACUUUUGUUUUCUAUAAUUAACAUUGCUAACUUGCAAUACUUAUCAUAAUUAUCAUGCUCCCACUAACAUGAUGAUUAUUAGCAUAACACUUAUGCUCCCACUAGCUUUGACAUGUACUCAGAAAUCAGCUGGACAGUCUGAAAUUUAGAUUCAUACACCCUUUCCGUAGAUAGCUCACCUGUGUGUCUAAGCAAUUUCAAGAACCAUGAAAAGGGAUACCGUAAUCAUGGUCUCAAUUGCUUAGGCAUUUGCCAUUUCUCACAAGUCCAUGUUAGUGUGCCGGUUAACCACACGCGCUCCACUAACGACUUUUGAAAAUGCAAAUAACACAAUUGAUAUCUUCGUAAAAUCUACUUAGUGAAAGCGUUUCCUCACCAUCAUUUUCAUGAAUCGGAGAGAAACCUUAUGACACUUAGAUUUAUAUGGUGUAUGAGUUCCUACCCAUAUGAAUUUGUCAAACCAUAAUCACAAGACAAAGAUAAUGACAAAUCCAAAACCAUAUGGAUUGAACUCAAUCUUAACUUCUUGCCACCUGGCAGCUCAAGGGCCUGCCAUUGCUUCCAAGUUGUUAUGCAACAAACUGAGAACUCUAAGAACUCAUAUGCAAAGCCAACUUUAACUGGAAUGGGCACAGAUAUGUCAACACGAUAGGUUAUAAACCUCAAGUCGUGUGCUAGUGAAGAACUUCAGGUUUUAUUCUUGAUUAUUUCUUGAGACUUUCAAGACCUUUAAGACUCCCACUGUCCUCUUGACAUAUAAGACUCCCUUGUCAAACAUCCAAGAGAUAGUGCGGAUUCUAAUCAAGAAAAACACUUUACCCAAUUGGCCUAAGUUGGUCUUUGUUUUAUCCAAAACAUCACAACUUACCAAUUUCAAAUGUACAAGAGUAGAAAACUUUUACUCUUACAUUUGACAAGUGUUUUAAACCUUCUUUAAGACAUGUCACUCAAAUGACAAUCUUGGAGUAUGACUCUAAGACUUGUAUUGGAACGAAGUAUGACUCAUCUUCUUGAUUUAACCAUUUCAACAAUUCAAGUUCCUCUUCUUAGUCAUAAGAAUGCACUAAGAUUUCCUUAGAGAACUAAUUUUGAUAUGGUUUCUUAAUCAUUAAGAUGAUCACAAAACUGAUACUAAAGUACUCUCCCAUCUUUUCAGAUAUGAGAAACUUUUAUCCUUCUGCCUAAUUUGAUUCUUCUUAUUCGCCCUGCCAUACAUUGGAACCUUUUCCAAUGUCUCAGAGUUACACUUAAGCUUGUAAGUAUAAUCAUAUUUACUGAGCUUUAGUAAACUAUGACGAAUAGUCUUAUCAAUCUUUUGUGGUGGACUUAAUCAGUGCACAAGAAUGUGUACUCGAUCCCUUAGUCCUUUACUUGACUCACACAUCCAUGUGAACAAGUAAUUAGUCUUAAUUUUCCAAAACUUGAAAGUUCUCAUUCAUCAUGCUAUACAACUUGCAUGAUUCCAAGUUCCGGUCCAAUUGAAACUUGGGUGAUGAGAAUCUUUCCUUAUUUGGUAAAUCUAGACAUUACCACAAAUGAAAGAAUCAAUUUCAUAUUUCCACUCUUGCUCUUAAUGGAAUCAUAUAAGCAACAAUUUUUCCUCAAAAGCCAUUGUAAGGAUAUUUUAAAAUAAAUAAAAUCAAAAAAAUUUUCUUUUAUUUUAAAACUUUGCGGAAAAACUUAUCCUUACAAUCCAUAUGAAAACUUGUUGUUAUCUAUUCCUAAGCAAUAUCUCAUAACUCCUAAGAAGUAGCUCAAGAAUCCGAUCUUCAAACUAUGCGAUAGAAAUCCAUCUACGCCAUCAGAUUCAGCAUAUUCUUUCUUUAAGUUUCUUCACUUUUCUUUGAUUCUUAAAACAUCACCAUGUGACCCAGUCACAUCAUGUAUCAAGAAUCUCAGAAUAGAAACUUAACAGAGUUAGAUAGUGGACUUUACCUGAAGUAGAGUCAAACUUAUUGACUUUAACAUCCUUAGGUAAAUUUGGCAGCUUCGCAACCAAUGCCCCUUCCUUUGGCAAUAUAAACAUAUGGACCCUUUGAUAAUGGUACACGGGACUAUCACAGACUUAGCUUUUCUCUUUACCAUUUGGUCAACCGAGUUGACUAUGGCCGAUCCCUUUCCAUUGGGAAGAGAAUGCUUUACUGGAUAUCCAAUGUCAUCAUUGUCAAUGUCCAUAAAGUUUUAGGAAGUUGAUCUUAGCAAAUAGAUAAGAUCAUUAAGGGUCUUGUCAUAGUCUGUUUCAUAGGUGUCCCAAAGGAACUCACUAUGUGACUUAGAAAGUGGUUGAACCACCAACUUUCUCAAGACUUUGACACCCAACUCUCCCGGCUUGUCAAUAUGUGACUACAUCUCCAAGAUGUGACCACACCUAGACCUUGCCUUGCUAAUAGGGCCUGAGUGACCUUAAACUUUUCAAGAACUUGUGGGUUAGGGAGAAUAAUUUGAAGAGGUGAAGAAGUAUGAUAUCCAUGGGACAUCAUCUUCAUUAGGAAACCUUGUUUCAAGAGAUUUGGGAAGAUCAUAGGUGUCUAAACCAGACAUCUUUUGGGAGAUAUUCAAGAUAGUUGAUUUAAAGUCCUUAAUAUGACACCCAAUAUGAAAUAUUAAGGCUAGGACCCAACAAACUAUUUUAUAACUUAGAAGAGGUAUGCCGUAAUCCAAGCUAUAAAAUAUUUGAAGGUAGGUGAAUGACGAUUCACCAAUUUCCACCAAGAUAAACGAAAUGUAUUAUUAGGUUUUAAUUGGUUUUGAAACUCCUAGAUCUUUGAGAUUCAUUGAACUUUUCAAAGGCAUGUUUCAAUCUCGAGUGUGCCCUUCAGGUUUUGUGACUGGGAUGCCGAGGAUCACAAAACAAGGUGUGAAGUAACCAUGCAAAUCACUUGGUACCCUUAAUAAAUUACCCCUCAAUCGAUGUGCCGGUUAACCACACACGCUCCAUCGAUACUAUGAUAAAUAUUAAGUCACCCUUUACCUACCUUGUUAAGUCCAAGUUAGUGUGCCGGUUAACCACACACGCUCCACUAACGACUUAGACAAAGUGUAAAGUGUAAUUUCAUGGAUUAGCACCUUAUUCACAUUUUUCCUAAGUAACUAAGAUUGGGUAUUAUUAAGAGUUUAGUUACUUAGUAUUAUCAUUAAUACUUUUAAUGAAGGGAGAAUUCUAGUCCUGUCAAACCCGUUCGGCUAACGACCCUCCACCAGUCAAGCAAGCGGUGGGUGAGAGUGGACACCCAUUAAGUUGCCAUUUUAUAGGCAACAACCUUAUACCCACCUUAUAGACCGGCUUCGUGAAUGAGGCGUACUAGCGGUAAGACUGACUUUACUCUUAUACAUAUAUAUAUUAUUAACUUAUAAUAUUAUAAAGUAUAAGGGUUGAAUUUUAACUUUUAAAAUUCUAAGGGCUAACUUGGAAUUAAAGUAUUCAUACUUGAAAACUUUUCAAAUUCCAAAACUUGAGGGCAAGUUUUGAAACUAUUCAAAACUAAUUAAUUCCAUAACUUAUGUGUUUAAAGUAGUUUUAAUCCAAAAACUCUUCAAGUUCCAUAACUUGAGGACAAGUUAUGGAAGACUUUAAACUAAUAAAAGAACUAACUUUUUCUUUAUUUUAUAACUUAUGGAUUUAAUUAUGGUUACAUAUUUUUCUUUAAUGAAGUGACUCUUGAACUUCCAUAACUUGAGGACAAGUUAUGGAGUCAAAAAAAAUUAUUCAAUGACACAAGACUCUUCAUUUUGUAACCAUUGCCAACUUUUAUGAAUUUUAUGAGUCUUUAAUGUGACUCUUCAUGUAACUUGAGGACAAGUUACACAAACACAUUUUAUACUCAACUCUUAGAUUAAAAUGGAUUGAAAACAACUAUUUCACUCAACAUUUCUAUUAAUCUAAGCAACUCAUAAGAACAAGAUAAUUCAAAUCAAACUUUUUCAUGUAAUUAGUCUAAACCUUAAACUAAUACAAAACAUGAAUCUAUUGACAAUUAUCUUUGAAAAUGGAUUAGCAUGAACAUUACCACAUCAAAAACAAGUUUAUAAGUUCAAAAACAACUUAGGGUAAUGUUCCUAGUCCAUUUCUAGCCAAAAAACUCGAAAAUAUGCUGUCUGGGGGUCCAACUCGUCGAGUGCAUGAACAAACUCGGCGAGUUGGAUCGAAUUCAUCACUUUUUAGGCAUGGACUCGUCGAGUCUCCUGAUGGACUCGCCGAGUCUGAUGAUCAGACAGCACCAGAUUCGUUUUUUCAGCUUCUAUUGCAGGUAUAACAAGAAAACAAGCCUAGGCUCUGAUACCACUGUUGGGUUUUGAGCAUUCUAACACUCCUAAGUGUACAUGCAACCCUAAAUACCUUGGAUCUAUGUUUUCUCUAUUAUACAUGCAAAUAAGAACAUCCAAGGUAUUAUCCUAAUCUAGCAUACAAAAACAAUGAGUGUAACAAGAUAGAAUACAUACCUCUUUGAUGUAGAAAGUCUUCAUGAAGCUUGAGUGCCUAGCCCCAAUAGUGUGGAAGCCUCAAAUGGAAUCACAAUCACCAAAACACUUAGAAUAACUUGAGAGAAUUCUACAACUCAUGAAAUCGGCUAGCCCUUUUACUUCACACACUAGUGGCCGAUUUUGGUCAAGAAUAAGAUGCUUAUAUAGUUAGGGUUACACCAUGUAAACCCUAAUUGACAUGGCCUUUCAUUUCCAUGAUCCAUGGGUACAAAUACACCAUGGAGCAUCCAUGGACCAUCCUAUGGGUUUUAGCCCAACUUGAUUAUCCAUGGAGCAUUAGCCCACUAUACAAGUAUGGAUGAUUUACACAAUCAACCCAUAUAUUUAAUUAGUCUUCUUUUGAUCACUUAAUUAAUCCUAGAUUAAUUCUUGAUCAACACUAAUUAAAUAAUCUUUUUAUUCUUAUUAUUAAUAUACUAGAAUAUAUUAAUAACCAUAAGUGUCUUAUUUCUCUCAUUAUAGUCUAUCCAAGUGCAUGAUGGUAUGCAACCCAAAUGGACCAUGCCGGGUCGGGUCAAGUCUUACCAAUUAUAGUUAUGGACUUAGACAUUAAUCCAACAAGAAUUGCAUAGAGAGAAGAUGUAGAGAGAUAGAAUUGCAUAUGUUACAGUCCAGGUCGGAUCUCUCGAUCACGCAAAGGAGGCAACAUAUGAAUAACAGAAAAAAGCAAGAAAAUAACCUUCUACAUACCUAGUUCAUUGGAAUUCCCUAGUCACCCCAUCAAAACUGGAAUUAAGGACAGAAUCCGCACAUCGAGGAAAGGUUAAUCCACAGUUCUAGAUACGAAUUAUUUUAAUGUGACCGGUAGAUUCUCAUGUAUAUCUACCUGCUCAACCUAUCCGAGCGUUGUAAUGUUAGGCUAAACGGAUCUAACUAGUUUAAUGUUUGUCAAGUCCUUGAAUUCCUUAAGUUCAACUCUCCCUAGUCAAGUCCAUUUAAAAUCUUUCGUGCCUAUCAGCGCAUCGAGCACAGAGUGUAGACGAUUCAAUUUUGGUACGUUACACAGAUUCAGAUUGCCCGUUAUCACUUGCUAAUAUCAUUUCCCUUCACAACACCUACAAACAAAACUAUCAACAAUAUAUUUUUUGAUUUUCUGGAUUUUUAUUGUUUUUGGAUUUUUUAUUGUUUUUGGAUUUUUUUUUAUUAUUUCUCCCCCUAAAUUUGUGCAUGGUUGAGAAUGAAAAAUAAAAGGAAAUAAAAUGCGCAAAUUUAAACUAGCCUACCUACAAAAACAAGAAUAAAUUUUAAAAUUUAAGAAGAAUUAAGAAAACAACAGAAAAAUAAAAUAGAAAAACUUAAUCCUCAAAAUGAAUCAUUUUCAGAAAUCCCACAAGCACAUCGAAGCGAGCUUUGUUAAAGGGCUUAAUGAACAUAUCCGCCACAUUAUUAGCAGUGGGAACCUGUUCCAGCCGGAUAAGUGAACGUUCAUAACAAUCUCUGAUGAAAUGAAUUUUAAUGUCGAUGUGCUGGGUUUUAGAAUGUUGGAUAGGAUUUUUGGCAAUUUGAAUUGCGGCCUCAUUAUCAUAGUAGAUGGGGUUUCUAAGUAAUUCAAACCGUAGUCCAACAGUUGAUGUUGGAUCCAGAUAACUUGAGAACAACAUGCAGAUGCAACAACGUAUUCCGCCUCCGCUAUUGAGGUUGAGACAGUGUGUUGCUUCUUGCACUGCCAUGAUAGUAGCCUGUCACCAUGAUAUUGACACCCUCCUGAAGUAGAUUUCCUGUCAAGCUCACAGCCUCAUAAUUACUGUCAGCAAAAGCAUAUAAAUCAAAUUCAGAAUUCUUCGGAUACCAAAGACCCAAUUUUGGGAUGCCUUUGAUAUACCAAAAAAUUCUUUUGACAGCAAUAAGAUGUGAAAGUUUAGGAUUAGCCUGAUAACAUGCGCAUUGACAAACUGCAAACAUGAUGUCUGGACGACUUGCGGUAAGAUACAUCAGUGAUCCGAUCAUCGAUCUGUAAAGAGUCUGAUGUACUGAAUCGCGAUUAGUAUAUGGAGUCAGAAGAGGUCUUUCAACCAUUGGCGUCGAUGCAGAUUUAGCAUCGUGAAACCCGAACUUCUCAAGAAUAUCUUCCACAUACUUGGCUUGAUGUAGCAGGAUUCCGGUUGAAUUUUGUUUGACCUGAAGCCCCAUAAACAUGGUCAUUUCCCCCAACGAACUCAUAUCGAACCACUUUUCCAUAAACAAAGUUUGAUCGAUAGUGCCACGAGAAUAUCUUCCACAUACUCGUCAACAUAGAUUUGCACCAAAAUCUGAUCAUUACCGACAUGCUUGAUAAACAAAGUUUGAUCGAUAGUGCCACGAGAGUAUCCAUGCUCGAGCAAGUGCUUUGUUAGAGUUGCAUACCAUGAUCGAGGAGCUUGAUGUAACCCAUACAAUGCCUUGUCCAACUUGUAGACAUGAUUAGGAAACUUCGAGUCAAUAAACCCCAGGGCCUGAUCAGCGUAGAUUUCUUCUUUCACCUUGCGAUACAAGAAGGCUGUCUUGACGUCCAUUUGGUAAAUAGUGAAGUUCAUGUAAGAGGCAUAUGCAAGGAAGAUACAAAUAGCCUCUAAGCGAGCUACUGGAGCAUAAACCUCAGUGUAAUCAAGACCCUUGAGUUGUCGAAACCUGCGAACCACCAAUCUAGCUUUAUUUCUGUCACACCCCGGCCGUCGGCGGAAACACUGGGUAGUGUAACGUCAUUUUUCGUAUCACAGUUAUAUAACACACAUUGAACAAUACUUAAAGAAAACACAUACCUUUAUUGAUGUUUGAAAGUUACAUUACCGUUUUCCUAGUAUUUAUUACAUAAUAUCCGACUAUGACAUACUUCUUAAUGAACAGAAAGAUAAUAGUAAAACUUCUUCUGCUCGAAUACAUACCAGCUUUUCAAGUUCCUGAAAACACAUGCAUUUUAAAAUACGUCAACAUAAAGUUGGUGAGUCCACAGGUUUUGACUCCAUAAAAUAAUACAUUUGUACACAUUCAAAAGUAUAGUUUUGAAAGUAUCAUUUUGACUCUCCAACAUUAGGUAUAAUGGUAUACUUAUCAAUUAAGUGUUAUACCUAAACAUUUCUUAAUCUUAAGGUAUAAGUAGGGGAAAACUUAUACUUAACGUUAAUACUUGUAUAUGACAAGGUAUAAUGUUUCUAACAAUUUGCUACCAUGAGCCUGUAAUUGCUGCUAUGACAUAAUACCUCUGAUAGAACAAUACACUCAUGAUUUACCAUGAGAACAAAUACACUCAUGAUUUAAUACGAGAACCAACACCGUACGCUUCAUCGACGCCGAAAUAAUAACAAAUAAAAGGAUAGUUCAUCACUUGUUUUUGGUUGACGGUAGCUAACAGUCACAAGUGGGGUGGUCAGCCCGUAUACUAAUUAUACACGACUUCCUCGCUCACAUGGGAUCAACGGUUACAGUUCAGAGGAUUUCCACUAAGAUCCCUAAUCUUAGUUGAUGAAUACAAUUACUCAUGUAGACUUUGACGACUUCCUAUAGCUCUAACAAAAAAAGCAUCUUCAUGUCUAAAACCUUAAGUUACUAGACUUUGCUUUUGAACAUUACUCCUAACUUCAUAAUAUUUAGGCAGUAUAAUAGCUAUAUCUUGAAGUAAAACCAGGUUUUAUAUUGACCUAAAACCAAUAAUAACAACAUAUAACGUUUCUAGUUUUAUCUUGACAUAAAACUAUCAAUAACAAUACCAAGUUUUAUCUUGACAUAAAACUAACAAUAACAACAUAUAAUAUAUCCAGUUUUAUCUUGACAUAAAACUAUUAAUAGCAACAUACUUAACAUUUAGAACUUUCGAAUAUUACUUCGGUAUUAUAUCGCACACAACAUAUAUAUAGAAUCCUAAGUAUAACUCAAGAUCUACAUUAGUAAAUUAACAUACUGAUAAGUUAAUAAUAGUUGUAUGUAUUCAAAAUGUUAUAUUUAGAACAAUCAUAUCUCGAUUAUCAUAACUAUAUACUAUCAUAUAGUCAUAAUAAUAACAUAUAUACAAUGAUUAGCAUGCGUUUUCCUCCGAAAUACUAGAAAGUGGGGCCGUGAAACUCACCCUAGUAGCGUGAUUUUAUGAUAUCUAAGCAAAACGGUCAGUGUGUGAGAUCGUCGGGGAUUGGGAUGCAAGAGGUCUUCAGCAAAUGAGAGAGGAGAAAGGAGAUCAGGUGUAAGAAUGGCUGGGGUCGAUCUUGCUAUUUAUAGUAAGAUUUUAUGACACUCACGUCGUGAGUGUCAUAAGGCUCACAUCGUGAGUCUGCCUGAUUCACUCCGUAGAUGGUAGACUUGCCAUUUGCGUCCCUAGCUUCAGAAGGUGGCCAUGACUCCUCAUGUCGUGAGUGUCAUAAAGCUCACGUCGUGAAUUUGGAUCCUAUCCUCUCGCAGCCUCUAUAUUCCGAAUUAUGACAGAAUGACUCUUCACGUCGUGAGUGUCAAAAAACUCACAUCGUGAAUUUAGUUAGUUUAGGGUUUUUAAAAGCUAAAUUUUCGGAAGGCCAUAACUUUUGCAUACGAACUCCGUUUUUGACGUUCUUUAUAUGCACGCGUAGGUAUUUACGAGUACUAAAGCUCUAUUUUAGACUUAAAUAGCUAAUUCUAAGUCUAUUUUAAAGUUCUCUUAUUAUAGAGAUUAUAGUGUUCGGUUAUCAUAACUUCUUCAUGCGAAGUCAGAUUCUGACGUUCUCUAUAUUUUUUUGGAAUCGUAUGGACGUACACUUUGAGUUGUAUCGUAAAGAAAGUUCAUAUUUGUAUUAGAAUUUAUCAUGAACUACAUAAAAUUCUUACCACAUUACUAGGUUAACAUAAUCACAUUACAUGAUUGGAAUAAUUACAUGUGAUUGUCUAUUGACCUAUUUUGACUAGUGUUACAAUUUUGCACAAUAACCCCUGAAUCAUCCUGCUUGUUGCGAUAGACCCAUCGUGUGUCAAGAGACUUUUGCCCUUUGGCAACUCAACCAACUUCCAAACCCCGAGUUUUUCAACUUGAUGUAGUUCUUCAUGCAUUGCAUCUACCCAGCUGGGCUCAUUCAGAGCCAUUUCAACAUUCUUAGGCUCUAUUUGAGAGAUAAAGCAAGAGUAAAGAUAAGUAUUGACAUCUCCACUCUGACUUCUGGUUUUAACACCGUCACCCAGCUGACUAAUGAUGUUUUCGAUCGGAUGAUCGCGUUGGAUCCUUGAAGGUAUCUCUUGGCUGAUAUCAUUAAGUGAGACAAGAAGAUAGUGAAUGGAGACACCUCCUCCAUUUGCUGAUUGAGCCGCUCCAGACGGCUCUGCUACAAACUCAUUUGAAAUGGUUUCAGGAAAGAGUAGUUCCAUAAAGUUUGAAGAGAUAGCAGAAUCAUCUUUAGACAUGAACUCUCUUUCUAUAGGAGUGAGUGGCGUAUUUUCAGCAUCAGGGGUAUCAUUUGGAGCUGGAGAUUUUGGACUAUCAGGUUAUACAGAUGACUCCCCCUCAGGCGUAGCAGAGGACUCCCCCUCAGGCAUGGCAGAGCACUCCCCCUUAGAUGGUGAAGUGGAUACCGUUGGAGGUCUGUAGACAACUUCUUCGUCUUCGUCUUCAGAAACAUUCUUCGACCCGAAGACACAUUUAUUGAUUUGAAAAGCGAUGUGUAAUCAAACAACCAAUCCGGACCCACUCUAGCAUCCGUCUCAUUUUCUUCCAACCAACGCAUGUCAUAAGAUUCCACAAUCUGCUUUGUCUUCUUAUUAUAGACCCUAUAAGCGGUGCGAGCGACAUACCCUACGAAGUAACAAUCAUUAACUUUGGCAUUAAACUUCGGGUUGGUCUCUUGGUGAAGAAGGGUGCAAGGGAAGCCAAAUACACGAAAAUGACUGACUGAAGGCUUGUGACCAUAUAGAAUCUCAUACGGGGUCUUCAUCUAUGCUUUGUUGAUCAACACGCGAUUCUGAACGUAGAAAGCAGUGUUUAUCGCCUCGGCCCAAAAGAAAACUGGUAGUUUGGAGUCACACAGCAACGUCUUUUAAAGUUCGGUUUCUCCUCUCAGCAACACCAUUUUGUUGAGGGGUGUGAGCGGAGCUGUAUUGACGCAUAAUACCCUUUUCUAUGCAAAAAUGAUCGAGAAUAGAAUUCUUGAACACUGUUCCGUUGUCGGUAUGAAGCGCCUUCACUCGGUUGUUAGUUUGGUUCUCAAUUAACACAAUGAAUUUCUUAAUCAGAUCAACAACUCCAACUUUGUGGAUAGAAAGAAAACCCACGUAAAAUGAGAGAAAUCAUCAAUCACAGCCAGUCAAUAUGAAUUUCUAUUUAUACUAAGAAUGUUAACUAGUCCAAAUAGAUCCAUAUGUAGUAAUUGAAGCACCUGACUGAUUGAGUUGACCUGUUUUGGCAGGUGUGGUUUUCUGUGAUGCUUACCUUAGGCACAUGACACACACUUUUCAAAAGUUAUAAAGUCUUUGACAGGAAAACCACAGACCAUCUCAUUAUUUUCAAGACGAUUCAAGUUCUUGGCGUUAGCAUGAGCAAGUAUUUGGUGCCACAACAUUGCAUAUUGUUCUGAGAUCUUUGAAAAGAGGCAUGUAACUUGUUGUGGAAGAUUGUUAUUCAUAUCAAUGUUGUAAGAAUUCCUAUCCCUUUUAGAUUUUACAAGAAUCCAAUCUUUUGGAAUGACAAAGCCUAGCUUGAGAAUCAUGCAUUCCUUAUCAGUGAAAUGCGAAGAAUAGCCUUUAUCGCAUAUCUGAGAUACACUCAACAAACUAUGCUUCAAUUCAGGAGCAACGUUGACAUUUUCGAAACUUAACACCCCAUUUGUGACGGUUCCUUUUUGAGUGAUUUUGCCACCUUCUCCACCCGCAAAGGAAAUAUAUCCCCCAUUGAAAGAUUGAAUGUUAUGCAGUUGGGCGAUAUCUCAUGUCAUAUGCCAGGAGCAGCCGCUGUCGACGAACCAAGUUCUGACGACAUUCCCCUGCAACUGUCCUUGCAAAAUGUGCGAGCUUAUUUAUAUUUGGGAACCCAGGUCAUUAUUUUCCUAGGUUGUCCUGAUGCCUUUUCAGAUCUAUCAUUAUUUAAUAACUUUUCAGAGGACACAGAUGAUGGAUUGGAUGCUUAUUUGGGCAACCAUUGAUAAUUAGGUUUUCUAACAGUCCCGAGUGAUUUUGAAAUAGGAUUUUUAUAAGUUUUCUUGGAGCACUUGGGUUUUCUUCCAGAAUUGGUUGAAGACCCAUUGCUGAUUCUUUACGAAACGGACCUUGGCUUGGCCAUGUUCGGUUUUGGAAAACUGCUUGGGACUUUGUUAUGAAUGACCAUUUUAUGCUUUUGAAAAACAGCCCGUUUUCUACUCCGAUCGUCCUUCCAAUCAUCAUUUUGAGAACGAUUUCUAGAGGAUUUUCUAGUUAAAGACCUUCCUCUGAAUUCGUUCUCUUCUCUUGGCGACACAAAAUAUACAAACAUUCGAUUAGGACAAUUUCUAGCUAUAUGGCCACCAAUACCACAAUUGAAACAAAUCUGUUUGUUAUUGUUAAAACUUGUACUACAUUUUUCAGAUUUGUUUUCCAUACCAACACCCUUUCUUUUCUCACAUGAACAUGAACAAGAAUUAGGUUGUGAGAUAAGUGAGGGUGCAUCAAAUGGAGAAACUUGUGAAACUGGUGUUUUUUCAUUAUUAUCAUCACAAACAUUAGAAUUACCAACCACAUCAUUAAACGCUUUAAAACCAUUCAAAACAGUAUCAGAAAGUGUAGAAACAUCACAAAAAACAUUGUCACUUGCAACAUCAGAAAAAUUAAAGUCUUUAUUUAAAACUAAAACUUCAGGUUCAGACUCAGUUUUAUUUUCAGAAACAAAUCCUUCAACUUCGUGCUUUGACUGAUUCAAGGAUUGAUCUGCAGUAGAUGUAGAAAUGAUAGUACUUUCAACAUUAAUAAAUCCUACCGAAACAAAACCAGAUGGCUUGCCAUAAACCAUGGAUGGUUCAUUGGCAAUCUCUUCCGUGGACAAAGGUUGAAACCAGUGUUCUAAAAGGCACGCCAUGGCGUGAGGUGUGGCUUCGCCAUUACGAAAAGCUUCAUAACGUUGCUGUUAGGCGUGGCACGUGGCAAGGCGUGAUAUGGCGCGCCAUGGCGUGUUAUGGCAUGUUAUGGCGCGUGUUUUUUCGUUUGAGACACAGUUUUUUACUCUUUGUUAUGUCUUUUCAAAUAGGAGAUCCAUGUAUUGUGGUUUAUGUUAACUUUUUGUUAUUAGUUAUUGAUCUAACACCUCUAAAAAGUAGUUAUAUUUACUAUAAAUUUAUAUUUAUGUGGUAAUAUAAUUUUAAAUUAAUACAAAAUCGCCGCCUUACAUCAUGCCAUGAANUGAAAAACGCCAUGGCUCCCCAUGGCUCGUUAAGCUUGAGGCUUGGCCUUGCCGCCACGCCAUGCCUCACGCCAUUUAGAACCUUGGUUGAAACUGAUACGAAUGAUUGAAAGAAGGAGGCACUUGAUUAUACCCUAAACCCUUUGACUGAUUACGUUUAAAUUGCAUGUAGUGGUCUAUCAUAUCGGCAACUGCCUCACUUGAUACAUCAUAUUUUCGAAAAUCAAAAUCAGCAGUUUCAAAUUUGCCCUUUAAUGUUUCAAUUUCAACCACGAAAUCAGCGUUCUGUUUCUUUAUAUAGUCAUAAUUUUCACAUUUAUUACUAUAGUCUUCCUGAAGUCUCCUAAAGUCCUUUAUUUUAGAUUCUAACUGGGCCUUAAGAGGUUUUUUUUCCUUUUCUAAGUUGGUAACCUUCAUACCUAAGGUCCUCUACUUCCCUUUUUAGCAAGUCAUUAUGUUCGCGAAGAAUUGUAAGGUUCUCUACUUCUCUACGUAGUGUUUCAAUUUCCUCAUGGAGAAUUUUAACAUAAUUGAUACAUUCUUGAGAGCAUGAGGGUAGACUUACCUCUCUUUUCUUUGGUUCAGGAGAAGAGGAUACCAGCAUCGCAAACUGCAGCUCCAUCAUUUGAUCUUCAGCUGCAACAAUCUCAGCGGGAGCAUCAUCACCAACCUGAGCCAAAUGAGCAUUUUCAGGUCCUGAUAUGUUCAGGGCCUGCAUCUAAUCCUCCUAGUAAAAUGAUUUCGAAACCAUAGCCUUUUCGCUGUUGACCUGAGCACCGCUUCGAUUGCUUCCUACUGCAACUAUUGUCUGGUCCUUAUUCAAUCUUCUAUCCGACUGCAGACACUCACGAGCAAAAUGCUCUGGCUCGUGGCAGUUGAAACAACACAGCUUUCCCUUGUUGAACCCUACCUUCUUGUCAGCACUCAUCCCCCAGUUGUUCUUCCCGGUCUUCUUUGCAAACUGUUUUCCCUGAAAACUGCCAUGAUUUGCCAUGUGAUAUCCAUUUCUUUUACGUCUUCAUGGUGAAUUUGAUCGAGAUCAACAAAUGAAAAUUGCGGCGGAAGAUCUCCAGCUACAAGUGCAUUGUAGCAGUUAUAAAGCCCUGUAGCAAGAGCAAGAUUUUCAUCACCCUCCUUUCCAUUUGAUGAUGAAGCCACAUUGGAGGGAGAAGCAGCUUAAGUAGCCACGAAUGAUUGGUUCUGAGAGAAAGGCAUGGCUGAUGCAGCAGAAAGAAAAGAAGCUGAUGGAGUGGAAAGAGACUGAAUCUAAGCUUGCUGAGCAGCAAAGGGUUAACCUGCAGAAGAAAACGUGAGAGAUGAAAGAGCAUUGUUAGAAGAGAUCCCAAGGUUUGCAGUUGAGUAUGAAUUCACAUGAUUUAUCUCCCGCUGUCUGUCAUCAAUAUCACAGGCCUUGAUGACAGCCAUCACUUCAGUAAGAGAGAGCCGACUUAGAUCCUUAGUUUUCUUGAUAGCAGCUACAUUCAUGUUCCAUGAAUUUGGGAGAGCAUUUAGUAGCUUCUUGUUUAUUUUAGACUUGGUGUAAAAAAUCCCGGCUACAGUCAUCUCAGUGGUGAGAGUUGUGAAUCGUUGAAGCUACACCUCCAAGGUCUCACCAGGAAUGUAAUUGAACAUGUUGAACCUUUGAUGCAACAUGUCCUGGCGACUCUCCUUCAUAUCUUCAUUCCCUUCAUAUACUUCAGUUAGGGGUUCCCAUAAAGCCUUUGCUGAAGUAUACUCCCUAAAGCCUUGAGCUAUAUCCGGAGAUAGGGCUAUGGUUAGAGUGGCCAAAGCCCUUUCUUGCUCUUCAACCUUCUCAAAGUCUUCAUCAAUGUAACUCUCAAUUUUCUUAUCAACCACUUGCUCUACAACAGUGGUAGUUAUUAUGACAGGAUCUUUUAUGAUGCUUCUCCAAAUUUUGAAGUCCUUCAUUUUGAUAUACUUCUCAAUCCUGUACUUCUAAUAAGGGAAACCUUCAGCGGACAACAGUCUUGGAAUUCGAAUAGUUGUGCCCAUUACAGAAUCUAGCUCGUGGUGGUGUGUUUGACUUUGUGAAUCCAUUUAAUAUUAAUUAGAAAUUAGAUUAUUUAUUAAAAAAAUAUUAGUUUCCAGUCAAUUAACAGUUUACGGUCAGGAAUGGUUUACGGCCUUAAACUUGGUUUACGGUCGAAGUUUACGGUCGUAAAAUAAUUUACGGUUGAUGAGUACGGUUGUUGAAGAUGCUCCUUUUACGGCCUAAGAACCAAGCUUGUGGUUCAAGAACAAGUAAGUGUUUGCGGCCGUAAUCACAGUUUACAGCCAUAAGCUUGGGCCGUGAACUACCAGAAGUUUGAGAAAACCGUGAUUUCUGAAUUAAUCUUGAAACCCUUUCGCAAUAGAAACCAAUUUCAAUCGUAAACAGUCAAAAACUCGAUUGUAUUCCGCUUUCACACUGGUUUUGCUCUGAUACCAAUUGUAAGGUCUUGAAACGGAUCUUACCAGUGAUAAUAAUAAAGAACAAAUAGAAACAAUGAUGUAAACAAGCUUGCACACGCUUCUAUUAGUGAAAACGUCUGGUACAACUUGUGGAAUAGCAGCCGAAACUCUAAGGCAUCAACAACAACUAAAUGACCUAGCACACCUCUAUAUAUACGGGACCUGGGCCAGUCUUGGGUUUACGGCCGUAAACUCAUAGCUGGCCAUAAACUACACAAAAGCUACCAAAACUUGCAUAUUGACUCAAAAGAACCUAUUACAAAUGAAAGCCUAGAUCAAACCAUUAAAUGGACCCUUCAGUAACUAAGAUUGGGAAUUUUUAAUAAUGUUUAGUUACUUUAUAAUCAUUAUAUUUAUAAUGAGAAUUAAUGUCCUAUCCUACCCGUUCAGAUAACGACCCUCUAUCAGUCAAGGAAGCGGUGGGUGAGAGUGGACACCUAUUAAACUGCCAUUUUAUAGGCAGUAACCUUAUACCCCCUUACAGACCGACUUCGUGAAUGAGGCCUACUAAUGGUAAGACCGACUUUACUCUUAUAAAUAAAAAUAUUAAACCUAUAAUAUUAUAAUAAUAUAAGGGUUGAAUUGUAAUUUUUUUUUAAAAUUAUAGGGUUUGGAACUAAAUGUUUCAAAAGUUAGACUUUUACAUUUUACAAAUCCCAAAGCUUGAGGGCAUGUUUUGUAACUUUCAAAACUUUUGGAAUGCAUAACUUAUGAGUUUAAUAUAGGUUUAAAUGAAAAGACUCUUGAAAAUCCAUAACUUGAGGACAAGUUAGGGAGUUCAUAAUACCAUUUAUGAGAAAAAGACUCUUCAAGUUCAUAACUUAUGACUUUAAUGAUUUCUUCAAAAAGAAAACUUUUCAUUUUCCAUAACUUGAGGACAAGUUAUGGAAUUCAUCAAAAUCAUUUAGAUCAAAAAUUCUAACAAGAAAAUCAAACAAUUUGUCUAUGAUCUAAAUUAAACUCAUAAGAACGUGACAAUUCAAAUCAAACAAAUUUCAUGUAAUUAGCCUAACCAUAUAAACUAAUACAAAACAUGAAACUUUGAAAAUUAUCUUUUAAAUUCGAUAAGCGUGAUCAUUACCACAUCAAAAACAGGUUUAUAACUUCAAAAACAGUUUAGGGUAAUGAUCCUAGUCCAGUUCCAGCCAAAAAACUCGAAAAUUGCACUCUGGGGAACCAACUCGUCGAGUGCAAGAGCUGACUCGGCGAGUUGGAUGACUUUGUUAGGUGACUCGUCGAGCCCACUGUUUAGACAACAAAAAAUCAAAAUUUUUAAGAAACUAGCAUCAACGAUAUUGGAAAACAACCCUAGGCUCUAAUACCACUGAAGGGUUUUGAGCAUUCUAACACUCCUAUGGUGUACAUGAAAUGCUACAUACUUUCGAUCUGUGUUUUCUCUAAUAUACAUGAAAGCUUUAAAUAUUCCAAAGCAUCAUCCUAACUAGCAUACACUGGAGUAACUAUACUACAAAAUUCUAGUUAGAUGAGAUACCUUUUUGUUGUAAUUGGAAUCCUUGAACCUUUAAGAGCUUAGCACCAAUAGUAUGAAUGCCUCAAAUGGAAUCACAACACACCUAAAACAAAAGGAUAACUUGAUCAAAUAUGUCUUGCACUCAUAAUCGGCUAGCUCUUCCAAAAAACACAUAUGUAAUUGAUUUCAUGAGCUAGAGGCUUGUUACAUAGUGUGGCACAUUAGGGUUACACCAUGUAAACAUUAAUAACCACGAACUUCCAUAUUCCUUAGGAUCCAUGGGUUUAAACUUCCAUGGAUUAUUGAUGGGUUAUCACAGGGGUUUAGCCCAACCUAAGGAAUCAUGGAUCAUUGGCCCACACCAUAACAAGGAAUGAUUUACCAAUCAACCCCUUAUAUUUAAUUAGUCUCUAUUGAUCACAAAAUUAAUUCCAAAUUAAUUCUUAAUCAAUACUAAUUAAAUAAUAUGAUUUCAUAUUAAUAUAUUAGCUUAUAAUAUAUUAACAAAUCAUAAAUAACCUCUUCUCAAAAUUCCAUCCUAUCAAAUUGUCCAGGUGAUAUGCAACCCAAAUGGACCAUACUACUCUUGGGUCAAAUACAUACCAAUUAUAGUUAUGGGUAUAAACACCUAAUCCAACAUGGGUGGGGCCUGAUGACUGGGUGGAGUCCAUUAUAUGUUUUGUUAUGUAUGGUAUGAGGUAUCUUGGGGAACUCACUAAGAUUUAUUCUUAUGGUUUUUAGUUUAUGUUUCAGGUACUUCGGUUUUCAAAAGGUAGAGCUCGGGUUGACUGCAUGGCACGCACACUUCUUGUUCCAUAUUUGACUUGUUUUGGGAUUUAUACUUUAAUAUAAUGUAUCGGUUUUUUAAAAAAGUAGUUGAUGAUCCUUCUUAUAUAAAUAAAACAAAAUUUUAUGUCAACAUAUUUGGGACGUUUCAAGUGCUAUCAAAGCCUUGGUUUGAGGGAUUCGUACAUACUCUCGGGUGUGUCUGAACUCAAACUGAAGAUUUGGUAAACUUUGCAAAAGAACAAUAUUUUCAAGAAAAGAGUUUUCUAAGAAAAGAAGAGGGUGUGGUGCAUGCAAUCAGUCGAGCUCAAUUUCUGCAUGUUAGAAUGCUAGGAGAGAUUCCUUGUUUGCCUAUUAUAUGAACUUGUUUACUAGAAUGUUAAUUCUGAUUAGCCAGUGAUAGGUUGUCCUAUUAGGUGAUGUAUGGUAGCCUAGGAAGCAUGGGAUGCUAGAUUGGGUUCAAUUUGGAUGCGUGGGUAGUCAGUAGUGGGAGUGGGAGCUCCUUGUAUGAGUUGUAGUAUGUGGAAUUGGAGUGUACUGCAUGAAUGUUGCUUGCUUUGUGCUCUGUGGAACUCCUAAGUGAUGGGAGUUAACCACUAAGUGAAUAUAUCAAGUCACAUGUAACAAAGGUUGAAUAAUCUCAGAGUGAUGGAUUUGAACCUAUUGUGCAGCUCUUGUAUGGAUCUGACCAUUGUAGGGAUGAGUCUGUUACUUGAAGGAUUAUCUAAGCUUUGUUGCAUGUGAUUGUAUUCAUGAGGUGGGUGAUUGGCAUUAUGAGGUGUUCUUUAGUAGCUGAUGGCAGGGUGAGGUCGAGGACCUAGGAAAGCCUAAGGAUUGCUUCAGUGGGAUUUGUUGCACCGUUUAGCGAGUGUUGGUGUACAAAUUUGUGAAGGUGAUUUAGAGGAUUCAGGAGGAUUCUUGAGGAAAGUAUGGAUAAGCGUUGAAGUAGUAUUAGGCCUCUACUACUGAAAGCACAGGAUCCAUACUUGAAUCGGGGAGAGUCUUGGAGAAUCUAGGAACCCUGCGGGAUAAAGAUUCUUGGGAAUAUUCAGAUCUAUUGUGUGUCGUCUCGGUAUGGUGUCGAGCAAUCAGGAAUGGGGUUCAGAUUCUGGUUCUGGCUCAGUAUCAGGUACUGAACCGAUCAAGGCGCGGAUGCAGGACGUUAUCUCAUUGGAGGUUACUCAUGGUAUUUUAGAGUGGACCUUGGUGGUCUUAGUUUCAGCUAAGUAAGGGAUUUUGGAGUUCUUUUAUGGUCAUUUCGGGGCCUUUUAGGUCGAGAUUGUGGUAGGGUAGUUGGGAGCUCAUCGGGAGGCCAAGGCUUGGAGGAUAUUAUGGUUGGUUCUUGUCAGUUGGCAUCAGAGAGGAGUUAUGUACCAUGUGUUGGAUAAGGUGUCUAAGUCCAUAACUAUUUCUGGUAAAUACUUGACCCGACACGGCACGUUGGAUAAACUAAAUGAGAGAAAUAACACAUAUGGUUUAUUAAUAUAUUAUAAGUUCUAAUAUAUUAAUAAUAUUAUUUAAUUAGUUUUGAUCAAGAAUUAAUUUAGAAUUAAUUAAGUGAUCAAAAGAAUAACUAAUUAAAUAUAUGGGUAGAUUAUGUAAAUCUUCCAUAUCUUAUAUAGUGGGCUAAAAGGCUCCAUGGAUUACCAAGUUGGGUUCCACCCAUAGGAUGCUCCAUGGAUGAUCCAUGGAGUUAACCCAUGGAUUGAGAAAUGAAGAGUCAUGUUACAUUAGGGUUUUACCUAAUGCAACACACUAUAUAAGGACCAUGUCUCUCCCCAAAAUCGGCUACACUAGAGAAACAAGAGGGCUUGGCCGAUUUUGAGUGUGUUAGAGUAUUCUCUCAAGUUUAUACUUUGCAUUUGGUGUUGUGUGAAGCAUUUGAGGCAUCACACUUGAGGUGCUAGGCUCACAAGGUUUCAAGGAACACUUACAACAACAAGGUAUGUAGUUCUAUCUAUUAUUCAAGUUAAAAUUGUUCCCCAUGUAUGCUAGAUAGGAUCAUAGCCAUGGAAAUCAACUUUGCAUGAUAAUUAGACAAACAUAGAUCGAAGGUUAUUAUGGUUGCAUGUACACUUAGGAAGUGUUAGAAUGCUCAAAACCCAACAGUGGUAUUAGAGACUAGUUUUUUUUGUUUGUUAUUUAAGCUAAAUAGUUGAAAAAAGUCAAAAUUGUUGCAAUCUGACUGAUGAACUCGCCGAGUCCAUGGGGGGACUCGCCGAGUUCAUGUGAAUCUUCAACCGACUCGCCGAGUAGGUUCAUGCACUCGACAAAUAGGAGCCUCAGAAUGCAGAUUUUCGACUUUAGUUGCUGGAAAUGGAUUAGAAACAUUACCCUAAACUGUUUUGGUACUUGAAAACCUGUUUUAGAUGGUGUAAUGUCUUUGCUUNUAAUCCAUUUAAAACAACAAAUUAUCAAAAUUACAAGUUUUUAAGUGUAAUUUUUGAUUCAUGAAAGUGUUCAUAUUCAUGUUCUUGAUCUUAUGAUGUUUAGAUGAUCAUAUGAAUUAUUUGUAACCUAUGUGGUGGAUUAAUUCAUGAUCAUUAUGUUUUUUAAUGGAGUCCAUAACUUGUCCUCAAGUUAUGGAAAACCAAAAGUCACUUUGUUUAAAAACCAUUAAAAGAAAACAUGGGAUAUAAAAAUGAAGAGUCUUCAUUUUUAAUACCCUAAUAAACUCAUAUGUUACAAGAAAUGAAAAGUUUUGAAAGUUUACAAAACUUGCCCUCAAGUUUUGGAACAAGUAAAGUCUUGAUUAAAACUUUAGUUCCAACCCUUAGAAUUUUAAAAGUUAAAAUUCAACCCUUAUACUUAUAAUAUUAUAAGUUAAUAAUAAUAUAUAUAUGUAUAAGAUUAAAGUCGUCUUACCGCUAGUACGCCUCAUUCACGAAGCCGGUCUAUAAGGUGGGUAUAAGGUUGUUGCCUAUAAAAUGGCAACUUAAUGGGUGUCCACUCUCACCCACCGCUUGCUUGACUGGUGGAGGGUCGUUAGCCGAACGGGUAAGACAAGGACUUAUAAAUUCUCAUUAAAAGUAUGAUGAAUAUUAUAAAGUAACUAAAUGUUUUAUUAAAUUCCCAAUCUUAGUUACUUUAGGAAAAAUGUGAAUAAGGUGCUAAUCCAUGAAAUUACACUUUACACUUUGACUAAGUCGUUAGUGGAGCGUGUGUGGUUAACCGACACACUAACUUGGACUUAACAAGGUAGGGAAAGGGUGACUUAAUAUUUGUCAUAGUAUCGAUGGAGCGUUUGUGGUUAACCGGCAUCUCGAUUGAGGGGUAAUUCAUUAAGGGUACCAAGUAAUUUGCAUGCAUACUUCACACCUCGUUUUAUGAUCCUCGGCAUCCCAGUCACCAAACUUGGAGGGCACACUCGAGAUUGAAACAUGCCUUUGAAAAGUUCAUUGAAUCUCAAAGGAACUAGGAAUUUCUAAGAACCAAUCAAAAACCUAAUAUUUAAUAUUUCGGUUUUCGUGGUGGAAAUUGGUGAAUCGUCAUUCACCUACCUUUCAAAUAUGUUAUAGCUUGGAUUACGGCAUACCUCUUCUAAGUUAUAAUAUAUUGUGAUUGGAUCCUAGCCUUAAUAUUACAUUUGGGUGUUUUAUUAAGGACUCUCUUAAUAUCUAAACUAAUCUUGUCCUCUUCCUUCAGAUGUCUUCAAACAAUGCUGCUUCUGGCUCUAAUCCUAAUGGCUCCUUUACCCUUAUGAACUUGUGUGGGAAAGUCACUUUUGAUGGAUCCAACUUCAAUGAAUGGAUCAGAAACAUCAGGAUGAUUACCCGCUACGAGGACAAAGAAUAUGUCCUUGACAAGGAGCUUAAGGAGAUUGAUGAGACCACUGCAACUCCUCAGGAGAUCGCUGACUUUCGGGCACAUGAAAGGGAUGCUACGAAAGUGGCUUGCAUCAUGAUGGCCACGAUGACAGCGGAACUCCAAAAGUCUUAUGAGGAUUUCUACCCUUAUGAAAUGCACCAAGAUUUGAUGGAAAGAUACCAUCAAAGUGCACGACAAGAGAGGUAUGAAAUCAUCUGCUCCAUGAUAACAACCAUGAUGAAGGACGGGGAAUCCGUCAUGAGCCACAUGCAGAAAAUGCAAAGGUAUGUGGAUCGUUUGCUGAAGCUUAAUGUGAACUUCCCUGAGGAUCUUGCAAUAGAUAUCAUUUUGCACUCCUUACCAUCGUGCUAUGAUCAAUUCCGCAUGACAUAUCACAUGAAUAAGGAAGAGGUCACACUCAGCAAACUUCAGGGACUUCUCAAGACCGCAGAAACAGGUCUUAAGGGGAAGUCGGUUGUUAACACUCCUACUCCAAACUCUACUCCGGUUUUGGCAAUCGGGAAAAGUCGAGGGAAGAAGAGAAAGAGCUCUUCUAAGGGUACCAAGGCUCGGACCCUUGAUGGCUCUUCUUCAAGUGGAACCAAGAAAGGUUUCAUCACUCCUUCUUCUGACCCAAAAGAGGCUGAAUGCUUCUAUUGCCAUGAAAAAUCUCAUUGGAAGCGGAACUGCCCAAAAUACCAGCAAGAUGUGAAGGAUGGGAAAGUUAAACCCAACCAUGCAGGUAUUUACACUAUCAUUUCUAAUAACUCACCCCAUUCUAAUUCUUGGGUCCUUGAUACCGGUUGUGGUAUUCAUAUUUGUUGUGACUUGCAGGGACUAAGAAGAAGUGAGGAUGUGGAGCAAGGAAGGAUAAACUUGAUCAUGGGGAAUAGGAAAGCUAUACCUGUUACCAAGAUUGGAGUUUAUACUUUAUCGCUAAGUAGUGGGUUUAGUUUAGAUUUGAAUAAGUGUUGUUAUUCGCCAGGAAUGGCAAGAAAUAUUAUUUCCUUUCAUGCUUUGUACAAACAAGGGUUUACCUUUUCAUUUAAUAAUGAAGUUGGUUCUAUUGAUGCUUUCUUUAAUAAUGUUCUUUAUUUUAAAGCAUUACCUUGUGAUGGUGUGUAUGAAGCUGUAUCUGUUGUAGAUAACUUAGGAAAUAAUGUUUUGUGUAUUGAUUCUACUAAUAAUAACUUGGAUAAAGCAUCACUAUGGCAUUGUCGUCUUGGACAUAUAAGCAAGAAACGCAUAGGCCAACUCCAAAAGGAUGGAGUCUUGGAGUCUUUUGACCUAAAGUCUGAUGAUAGUUGGUAAUCAUGCUUACUUGGAAAAAUGACAAAGUCACCCUUCACAAGUUCUUGUGAUAGGGGUGAAGGUUUGUUGAACCUUGUACACAUGGAUGUGUGUGGACCAUUCAAACAUGCCACAAGGGAUGCUAAUCGUUAUUAUUUGACUUUUACUGAUGAUUAUAGUAGAUAUGGAGAUGUCUACUUAAUCAAGCAUAUGUCAGAGACUUUCGAAAGGUUUAAGGAAUUUAAACAGGAAGUCGAGAAUCAAUUGGGUAGGAACAUUAAGAUGCUUCGAUCCGAUCGAGGUGGUGAGUAUCUUAGUUCAGAGUUCCUCGACUAUCUAAAGGAAUGUGGGAUUGUCUCACAAUUGACACCUCCCAGGACACCGCAAUUGAAUGGUGUAGCUGAGAGGCAUAAUCGAACCUUGUUGGACAUGGUUCGUUCCAUGAUGAGUCGAGCUUCGCUACCAAUCUCAUUCUGGGGGUAUGCCUUAGAGACUGCCGCCCAUAUUCUUAAUCUAGUCCCUACAAAGAAAGUUGCCAAAACUCCUCACGAGAUGUGGACUGGU
This 80710-nucleotide long non-coding RNA is filed under the name Lactuca sativa (garden lettuce). RNAcentral's name for it is "long non-coding RNA (LSAT_LNC004890)". Lineage: Eukaryota; Viridiplantae; Streptophyta; Magnoliopsida; Asterales; Asteraceae. The record is from RNAcentral.